Molecule: long non-coding RNA, 69038 nt
Filed under: Salvia miltiorrhiza (redroot sage)
Lineage: Eukaryota; Viridiplantae; Streptophyta; Magnoliopsida; Lamiales; Lamiaceae
Description: long non-coding RNA (SMIL_LNC011427)
Source: RNAcentral
CCGAUGUCGAUGCCGAUGUGGGGAUAGAGCGGAUCCCACUCGCCGUUGGAGUAGGUGUCGAUUUCGACGGCGAAGACCGAGGCACUGUUUCCGGUGGAGUCAAAGAUUCCGAGGUUGGCUCCGUUGGAGGCAGAAGGGAUGGUGGAGCCGACGGGGGCGAUGAAGAAGGUGAGGCCGUCGGCAGGGGUGUUGUCGGGGCCGGGUGUGAUGAUGAAGUUUACAGUGGUUUCAAAGUCGACUUGGCCGCCGGCUUGGGAGAACUGGACCGGGUUCGAAUGCAAGACCCGGCCGACUUGUGAGGACUGUGCGUCGGUGAGGCGGAGGAAGGUGGAGUCCGACGGGAAAUGGGCGUCGCCUUGAUAGAUGAGAUCGCUCGGCUGGAUGCCCCAGAAGUCGUAGGUGAAGGACGUCGAUUGGGACCGCACCGUGUUGGCAGCGGCGAGGAGGAGGACGAUGGAGGAGAGGAGAGGAACUAGGGUUUGGAGAAGCUUUGCCAUGGCUUAAUUGAGUAGGAGUAGUUGAUUUGAAUGUGGUGGAUCAUGGUGGUUUCUGUUGCAUCUAUUUAUACUACUAUAGUGCAUUAAUUUAUGAUAAUAAUGGUAGCAAUCAAUCAUUAUACUUCACGGUUUGUAUCUCACUAACGAUUUCAUUAUUUUAAUACUCCCUUCGUCCACUAAUUUGUGUUCUACUUAUUUUUAGUAACUAUUUUCUUAAUAAAUAAAUCAUGUUUUCUAAAAGUUGUGUCCCUUCUCCACUCAACAAAUAAAUAAUACUUCCUCUGUCUCACAAAAACAUGAACAAAGAGAAAUGACACGGGUCUUAAGAAAUGUUAGUUGAGAGUUAAAAUGAGAGUAAAAGGGGUCCCACUUUAAAAAGUGUUGUGAGAGUAUUGAAUUAAUUAAGAAAAGAUAGUGGUGGGCCAUAAUGGUUUUUUUGUAAAUAAGUGUAAAAAUGAGGGAUGCAAAAUAAAGGGAUAAAUUCCAAGAAUAGUAAUGUUCAUGUUUUUGUGAGACGCCCCAAAAUGAAAAAACGUUUAUGCUUUUGUGAGACGGUAGGAGUGCAUUUUUUCUUAAAACGUGUGCUCCCUUCCCAUAGGACAUGAAUUGGUAGACGGAGGGAAUAAUUAUUAUUAGUGUUGAUUGUUACUCCCUCCGUCUCACAAAAACAUGAAAAUUUCUAUUUUGGUACACUACCCCACCACAAUCCCUUUACUUUUCAUCUAUACUUUUCAUAAAGUCGGACCAUUUUUUCAUUCACAAUAUACUUUAUCUAACAUUUCUUAAAACUCGUGUCACUUGCAAAUGUUCAUGUUUUUGUGAUACGGAAGAAGUAAUAAAUUAGUGAACUUUCAUUAUUGGAUGGAUUACGUAAUCUGAUUUUUUGCUACCAAUCAGGAUUUCAGCCAAACUCAGUGAUGACAUGACAGAGUCAAGCAUAUCUGAAGAUUACCAAUCAGGAUUUCAGCCAAACUCAGUGAUGACAUGACAGAGUCAAGCAUAUCUAAAGAUGAAUUAAAACUUUAGAAUAUGCCAAGACCUCGAUAAUUUGUAUCAUUCGACUUAAUUUUGCUUGAUUUAUAUCUCAUUGAAAGAAUAGGAUUAGAGAAGUUAUAGUAAUAAUUUAUGGAAUAGGCUAAUGUGGCAGUAUAAAACAUAGACUGGUAAAUAGCUUCCAUCUGUACUUGAUGGAUGAUACAUGCACAAAUAUGAAGAAGAAAUUUAAAACGUGACACCUUUAUAUUUAAAAUCGUACUCACGAAGAGGCCCACAUUUGUACUUUAAUCAGAUGCUCUCCAUUAUUGUCCUUUUAUAAUUUUAUAGGAAAGGGAAAACAUGUAAAUAUCUUUCAGUCGAUAAACAUUAAAAUAUAAUUAGCGUUAUUUAAAUUUUUAUGAAUCAAGAUAUUGGAUGGAUUAGGUUUAGUUAUUUCGAUUGUUCAUAGACUUGAGUGGAUUAGCAAAGAAUACGUGCAAUCACGUGUAAACAGAAAAUUCUAAUUAAUAAGUUUUCGUAAUUGUAUAUUAAUUUUAAUUGUUGGGAGUGUAGAUGAAAAAUGUGGUGGUAUAAUAUUGGAGGGAUGUAUUUUAAAUUAAAUGCAAGUGUAAUGUAGAAUAUGUGGACGUGUGUGUAGUAGUAGGUGCUAGGAGAGAGCAAAAACUUAUUUAAUCACUUGUUUUACUUUUUCCUUUCUCACUUACAAAAUCAAUGUCUCAUUUGUAUUCAUAAUACAAUUACAAAAUCGGUGGUGUAAAUCAACUAUUAGGGUGUGUUUGCUUUUUAUCCCUCUAAAUAGAGGGAUAACAAAAAUUUAUGCCUUUAACGUCUCAAAUCGUACUCAUAGAGGACCUCAAACGUCUUCGAGCCGGCGGUGGCACGGACGGAGAUCAUCUUCGUGGCUCCGACGAAGUUGAUCCGCGCAGUCACCUGCUGCCUGAGUAUGGCGCCGCCUACCUUCAUCGUGUUGUGGGAUGACCUAGAUCUGAUGUCUAUGCCGAUGUGGGGGUAGUUCGGAUCCCACUGGCUGUUGACGUAGGUGUCAAACUCGACGGCAAAGACCGAGGGGCUGUUGCCGGAGGAACCGAAGAUUCCGAGGUUGCCCCUGACGGAGCCGGUGGAGCCGACGGGGGCUAUGAAGAAGGCGAGGCCAUCAGCGGCGAGGGUGUUGUUAAAAAGUAAUAGCAAGCAGGAGGUUUGAGAAGUGAGAGAAAUGAUUUCAUUUGAUUGAAUGAUUAAUUAACAACUGAUUUACACAUAUUUAUACUACCGCAGACUACUAACUGACUAACUAAUACAAGCUGACUCAGCAAACUAAUUAACAAGAAGCUAACUAAUCAUCUAACAACUAAGCAAACAAGUAGACUUCAAUAGGUGUUAUGAUGAAGUUUACGGUGGUUUCAAAGUCGACUUGGCCGCCGGCUUGGGAGAACUGGACCGGGUUCGAGUACAAGACCCUGGUCUGCGGGUUGAAACUUUGGAAUAUGACAAGACCCAUAGACAGUUUUUAUCAUUUGACUUAAUUUUGCUUGAAAGAAUAGGAUCAGAUAAAUUAUAGUAAUAAUUUGUGGAAUAGGCAAAUGUGCAGUGGCAGUAUAAAACAUAGACUGGUAAAUAGCUUCCAUUAUUGUAGUUGAUGGUGGACCUUACAUUCAACAAAUAUGAAGAAGAAAUUCAAAACGUGACACCUUUAUAUUUAAAAUCGUACUCACGAAGAGGCCCACAUUUGUCCUUUAAACAGAUGCUCUCCAUUAUUGUCCUUUUAUAAUUUUAUUAUAGGAAAGGGAAAACAUGAAAUAUCUUUCAGUGAAUAAACAUUAAAAUAUAAUUAACGUUAUUUAAAUUUUUAUGAAUCAAGAUAUUGAAUGGAUUAGGUUUGUGGAGAGUUGGCCCAAUUAUCAUUAACUCCUCUGGCCCAAUACUCUUCCCUAGCCCAAAUCUGCUACUCGGCCCAUUCCCAACCCCUAAGCCCACUGCCCUUCAGUUUUACUCCCCUCAUUCUCACUUACCUGCGCCGCUUCAUCUUUUUCCGCCGCCCGUCUCCUCGAUCCCCACCUCCGACUUCAAUGCUCCACUGAUAUGACUAAACUCACGAGCUCUUCGAGUGAGCACAAACUCCUGAACACAGAUAGAGAAAACUUGGAAAGAGAGACAACAACUUCAAUAUUCAUUCAUGAUAAUAGAGAAAACAAGGAAACAUCCUAUAUAUGGCCAACGGCCUUCUGGGAAAAGUAGAAACAGACACCUAGGGAUUGAGCGACAAAGUAUCAGUUUUCUCUAACAAACAGGGACCACCGAAUCAGCUUUCUCUAUCCCACUACAUAGUCCUUCAGCCAAAGUGGUUGCUGGGAUACUCGUUUGGGCUUCUUCCCUUCUUGGGGCUUCUCUGGUUGGGCCGCAAAGUCACGCUCAGCAAUUGGGCCUUGGGAUGUAACAUUCCCCACCGCUUCUGCAAUCACCUUGUCCUCAAGGUGAAACUGAGGAUAGGAGAUGCGAAAGUCUUCCAAAUCCUCCCAAGUAGCAUUUUCAGGAGGUUCUCCAAACCAUUGAACCAGCACUUGAUGACGCGGUCCGUCCUUGCUCAAGACGCGGCGUUGGGAGCAGAUGGCUAACGGAACGGCGAUCGGUGAGAAUCCGCGAUUCUGGCGGAAGAUCACAGGAACGUCUGAGUUGUCACCCUUGUAGGGCUUGAGGCGACACGUGGAACACCGGGUGGAUGCGGCUGGUGGGAGGCAAUUCGAGGCAUACGCCACUGGACCAACCUGCUCCGAUAUGGUGAAGGGGCCAUAGUACCUGCGCGCUAGUUUGGGCGCUACUCGGCCGGAAACUGAGGUUUGUCGGUAUGGCUGUAGACGCACCAGGACAGAGUCGCCAACGUUAAACUCGAGCUCGCGACGACGACGAUCACUAUUCUGCUUCAUGCGUGCCUGCGUUUGGCGAAGAGUGAUUUUCAGCUGACGUAACAAUUGAUCUCGUUCCAAGAGAAGAUCCUCGACAGCCUGAAUUUUCGAUGCUCCCCGGACAUAAGGCGGAAUGGUCGGUGGCAGUCGCCCAUAAAGCGCUUGAAAUGGGGUCAUGCGAAUGCUGGAACAAUAUGAGGUAUUGUAGGAAAACUCUGCCCAGCUCAAGUAUUGCGCCCAAGAUGAUGGCUUCAGGUGAGCGAACGAACGGAGGUACUGCUCGAGGCCGCGAUUGACCACCUCCGUCUGACCGUCGGUUUGUGGGUGGUAAGCGGUACUAUGAUGCAACGUAGUUCCCGACAGUUGAAAGAGCUUGUGCCAGAAUUUACUCAAGAACAGAGGAUCGCGAUCGGAGAUGAUUGAAGCUGGAAAUCCAUGAUACUUGACAACCAUUUCUAUAAAGAGAGCAGCUACAGAUGUAGCAGUAAAGUGUGCCGGCAAUGGUCCAAAAUGGGCGGACUUAGUAAGACGAUCAACCACAACAAAAAUCGUAGUGAAGUGGCGGCUCGGAGGGAGGCCCGUGAUGAAAUCCAUAGUGAUGUCUUCCCAGACUUGAUUCGGUGUAGGGAGAGGUUGAAGCAACCCUGCUGGAGGUAGGGUUGAGUACUUAGUGUGUUGGCACGUGAUGCAGGACGCCACAUAUUUCUCUACCGCAACUCGCAUCCGAGGCCAAAAAAACGUGGUAGCUAAACGAACUAGAGUGCGCUUCACUCCUCCGUGACCAGCAGUAGGAGUGGCAUGGGCUUCGUGGAGAAGGCGAGGAAUGAGGGAAGACUCGGGGCUGAUGUAGAAUCGAUUGCGGAAUAACAGAAUUCCAUUGUGGACCGUGAAGUGGGAAUUCAACUUGUGAGCCUCAAAUUGCUGGUGGAGGGCGAUGAGAUCAGGCUUUGUAGAGUUUUCCAAGCGAAUGACGUCACAGAGUUCAGACAUGGGCAUGCUGGCUACGGUCAGCGCAAGUAACUGCGGUGAAGGCUCGCCUUGAUCCUCCGGCAAUCGAGAUAGAGCGUCGGCUGCGCGGUUGGAACUGCCCGAGCGAUACUCAAUCCGAAAAUGAAAUCCCAGCAGCUUACUGACAUAUCGCUGCUGUUCCGGGGUCUGGAUCGUCUGUUGCAAGAGCUCUCGAAUACUCUUGUGAUCCGUUCGAACCACGAAGAAUCUCCCCAGCAGGUAUUGCCGCCAUUUCCUCACUGAUUCUGUGAUGGCGUACAGCUCCUUCGUGUAUGUCGAGGCAGCUUGUAGUCGCGGGCCCAAUUUCUUACUGAAAAAUGCUAUGGGAUGCGCCAACUGCAUGAGCACCGCUCCCACUCCCACAUUGGAAGCGUCAGUUUCCACUAUAAACUCCAAGUCGAAGUUGGGCAGAUGAAGGACCGGCACUGAGGUCAUAGCAGCCUUAAGAGCAUCGAAGGCCACUUGUGCAGCGGGGUCCAUGGAAAGAAUCCUUGCGGAGAAGGUCCGUGAGAGGGUUGCGAUUCCGGCGUAUCCGCGCACAAAUCGGCGAUAAUAUCCGGUCAGACCCAAAAAUGCUCUAAGUUGCCGCGUGGUCUUGGGGAUAGGCCAAGUUUCCAUUGCCAAGAGUUUGCUCGGGUCAGCUUUAACACAUCCCCCAGUCAAGAUGUGCCCUAAAUAAUCAACUGAAGAUUGGCCAAAAACACAUUUGGAGAGUUUCAAACAAUAGUGGUUAGUCGAUAAGCAAUCAAAAACCAUUUGGAGAUGUAAUUGGUGAUCCUCCAUUGUCCCACUAAAGACCAAUAUAUCGUCAAAGAAUACGACCACAAAUUUGUGCAAGUGUGGAGCAAAAAUCUGGUUCAUGACAGAUUGGAAUGUCGAUGGUGCGUUACAGAGACCAAAGGGCAUUACCAGGAAUUCGUAAUGGCCGUCUGCCGUUCGGAACGCCGUCUUGUGGAUGUCUUUGCUAUGAACGCGAAUUUGAUGGUAUCCGGAGUGCAAAUCCAAUUUAGAGAAGAUCCGAGCACCGCCCAAGUCAUCGAAUAUCUCGAUGGUAGGAAUGGGGAAAUGGUCGCGCACAGUAACGGCGUUCAAGGCUCGAUAAUCGACGCAGAACCGGUAGGAGCCAUCCUUCUUGCGGACUAAAACACCGGCGAAGAGAAGGGGCUGCGGCUUGGCCGAAUGGUACCUUGAGCGAGCAUAUCUGCCACCAACUUGGCUACCUCCAACUUCUGAAAUUGGGGGUAUCUGUAUGGCCGGACGUUGACCGGGGCUGAGUUCGGCAGCAGGUGAAUGCGGUGGUCGGCGGAGCGAUAUGGUGGUAACCCCGUCGGGGGAAGAAAUAAUCGCUGGUAUUGCUGAGGAGGAGUGAAGCUCAGUAGGGCAGGACGUGGGUGGAAAUAUUGGGCCUGGGCCGUUAGUAACCCCCAAGGGAUUGGGCUCUAACCCUAGCAGCAACUUGGGCUCCUCUUCUACACAAAUGGGCCGUAUAUGUAUCUCAAAAAUUUGGUCAAUGUGAUUUUCGGCGGUUAGCACCUGAAGUUGAGCGAGGGUAAUGACCGGCGUCUCCGGAGCCGGGUCGCCGCGCAGUUGAAUGCGUUGGCCGUCACGAUCAAACUCCAUGAAUUGAUCCGCGUAGUGAUGCGUGACUGGUCCGAGUUGUUGUAACCAUUGAAUGCCCAAAACAAUAGUGGGACCCGUAAUGUCCAGUACAUGGAGAUCAACCACAAACGUGUGGCCUUGGACUCGGAGGGGCACCGCUGGGCAUAAAUGUCGACAGACCAAGAAAUCGCCGUUGCCGACAAAGACACGAAAUGAUGGAAUGUCCCGGAUUGGUAGUUUGAGGGAUUUAGCAACUGAUGGUUGGAGGAAAUUAUGAGUGCUACCGCUAUCCACGAGGACGCGAAAUGGGGUACCUCCAAUGGAACCGGUGAGUUGCAAUGAUCUCGGAGAAGAGGCGCCGGACAAAGAAUGUAGGCUGGAGACAUCACCCACGGUGGUGUCAUCGCUGACUUCUGCAGAAGAAUCCUCUGGUGGCUCUGUAUCUUCUCCUUCCUCGCUACCCACGAGUAACAGAAACUUGGUGCGGCAACGGUGGCCCGUGGACCACUUUUGAUCGCAGUUGUAACAAAGGCCCCGGUCACGUUUGUCCUUAAUUUCAGAUGGGCUCAAACGUUUGAUGGGAAUGGUGGGUAGGGGUAGGCGGCGGUGGGCGAGGAUGCCUGCUGGAUGACGGCGUGGCAGAGGAGGCCGUGAUAAGUGGCGGGGUCGGAGGUGAAGCUGUGAUGGGCGGCGUAGAGUUAAGAGGGACAGCUUUGAUGGGCCACCGGGAGGAUGGAAACGAGCUGAGUCGGGAUUCCUCAAAUCGAGCCUCAUAUGCGCGGGCCAGCGCAAACGCCUCCAUGAGGGAGGUGGGCUUAGAUAUGCUGAGUUCGCGUCGGAUCUCCGCCUUUAACCCAGUCACAAAAAAACUGAUCAAGAGAUGUUCCGGAAUACCAUGAACUUGAUUCAUCAAAUCCUCAAACUCAGUCUGAAAAUCAGCCACUGAACUCGUUUGCGUAAGUUUAGAAAGGGCUCCUUGCGGAUCGGAGAACAAGGAUGAGCUAAAACGCUCCUUAAUGGCUGAGAGAAAGGCCGGCCAUGUCGAGAGGAGGUUGUUAGCUUUAGCCCAUUGAAACCAGGCUGCCGCCUUCCCCUCCAUGUGGAAGGAGACGAUUCGCAGUCGAAGCUCUUCGGGAGUACCAUGAAAAUCAAAGAACUCCUCGAUACGGAAGAGCCAGCCGUGGGGGUCAGAUCCGUCGAAGCGCGGGACGUCCAUCUUCAUGGAACGCAGCAGGGGAGAGAUAUCGGUGAAAUGAGGAGGAGGAUCGGCAGUCGGAGGAGGCCGGCGGAAGUGGAGUGAAUCAAAGCGUGAGUCGACGGAGGACAUGAAGUCCUUGACUGUGGCAUUAGUAGCGGUGAUUUGAUUCUCAAGAUGGGUACGGAGAGAUUCAAUGGCAGCUAGAACAUCCGAGUGAGACAUGGCAGAGAUUCAAUUGGGCCUUGGGAUGUAACAUCCACCCUCCUUCCCAAUGACCUCCACUCCUUUUUAUCCCUGCUGCAAGUCUUUCAAUCGUAAGGAAGUUUUCACACCGUUUUUCUUGGAAGGCUCUGCUAUUCCUUCUAGAAGUGUCGCCGGAUUCCUGUUCGUGGUUUUCUGAUUGGUGACUGUGGGUGUGAACUUCACUUCGAUUGAGUGCUUGUAUCACCGGAUUCCUGUCCAUCGGUUUCCUGGUUUGGUGAUACUUUGUGGGUGUGCAAGCCAUCGGAAUCCUGUCCAUCGGAUUCCUGCUGCUGGUGGCUGUGCAAUCGAGAUUGGGGUGCUGACCUGUUUCUCCUGUUCCCUUUGAGCCGUGUUCAUUGAGCUGCCGGAAGAAGCCGUUGCCUACUGUGGGAAAAAUCUGAACCAAAGUGUCCCGAGGACACAUUUUUCCCAAACUCGAGUUUCCUCUGAUUUCCUUUUCUUUUCUCUCUUCCUUUUGGUCUCCUGUUGUUCCUUUUACUUGCUUGCUUUCUUCCCUAUUUGUGCAGAGCAGCGAAGUCGUCAAAGGCCAGAGCAGCGGAGUCGAAGGAGCAGAGCAGAGAAGUCGCGCAGCGGAGUCGAAGGCCAUUGCAGUGAAGUCGAGGCCAGCGCAGCGAAGUCGAGUGGCAGAGCAGCGAGAUCGAGUCUCCAGAGCAGCGAAUUCAAGGGUCUACAGAGGAGAAGAAGAAGACGAAGAUUCAAGUGCUUGAGCACGAGUGGGGAAGACAGGAGGUUCGGGAAACAAGAGGUGUAACCCUGGCUAGGCGAAGUUACCCAACAAGGUUUAGUUAUUUCGAUUGUUCAUAGACUUGAGUAGAUUAGCAAAGAAUACGUGCAAUCACGUGUAAACAGAAAAUUCUAAUUAAAAGUUUUCGUAAUUGUAUUUUAAUUUUAAUUCCAUUUUCAUAAUAAAUUUGAUUUCAUUUAUAAACAAUAUUAUAAGAAGCAUUUUCAGCUCUUGGAUCAUUACGGUGGAUGAUUCAUCCAGUGUUCGAAUUCCAUAUACAGGUAUGUCGAUUUUUUUUUUUUGAACUCAUCAUUUUCACGGCGAAUUCAUCAUAUUACAUAUACCGUAAAGUGAUAUUUACCGUAUUUGAUAACAUGAUAAGUAUAGUAUUGUUUGGAAUAUGGGAUAUUCACUUUAGUAGGAGUCAUUAGGUUAUUGUGUAUCCUUUCACUUAAGUAUUCCAACUGUUCGAUAAAAGUACUUAAAGAAAUCUUCCAUAUAUUGAUUACCUUGCAAAGUUCAUAGAACUUAAACGACACCCAAAAGCUUUCUGGCAUAGUCUAUACAUAGAGAUGGACGAUUAUCUUAUUUCUGGACUUGUCGAGGAUCCAAAGAUGAAGAAUUAAGAUCUGUGCUUGAGGGAACUUAUUUUGCAUAACAAAGACUUUCAUUAAUAUCUUAAUUGGAGUAUAAAAUUAGGGGCCGUUUAAUCUGUAGGAUUAGCCUUGAUAGAUAAAAAUAGUAAGGCUAACCCUUGUUUACUUUGAUGGAGGCCCUUUAUUAUUUUUAUCAUUCAAGCUAUAGUUUUGCUUGAUUCUUAUCCCAUAUAAAGAGUGGGAUUGGAGAUAUCAUACUCUUGAGGAUAAAAAUACUCAAUCAUGCAUAUAGUUGAUGGUCGACCUUACCUUACAUUCACAAAUAUGAACGAUUUAAAGCGUGACACGUUUAUAUUUAAAGUCGUACUCACGAAGUGGACCACAUUUAUCCUCUAAUCAAUGCUCUCCAUUUUUGUCCUUUCAUAAUUUUAUAGGAUAUCUUUCAGUCGAUAAACAUUAAAAUAUAAAUAACUGUAUUUGUAUUUUUGUGAAUCAAUAUAUUGGAUGGAUUAGGUUUAGUUAUUUCGAUGUUCAAUUAUUAUGUUGCUUUCGUGAACUUGCAUGUGCGGAUUAUUAGCAAAGAAUACGUGCAAUCACAUGUAAAAUGAAAAUUCUAUUUUUUUUUUUAGAAUUACAAGAGAUAUCUAUUAUAUAAUCAAAUAAGCCGCACGUACACAGGUGAGAUAUCUACACCACACAAAGGUGGGAACAAAAUCGCAUGCAGGCGGGACCAGUACCCGCACAAAGGUGUGAAAACUACAUCGCACGCAAGCGAGAUUCAACCCAAAUUUUAAUUUUCUUUCUUGCAGUAAAUGUUUAUCAUUUUUGGAUUAUUUUUGAAUCAAAUGUUGGAUAUUUAGUUUUUAUUUAAAAAAAAUUAAUUAAAUGUUAGCAAAAAUAAGUAAAUUAUUGUAUAUUUUCAGAUUCGGUAACUGAUUGCUUUAUUUUAAUUUAAUCAUUUUCACACAUCAGUUAUACUAUGUAACAUUUUUUAUCGGAUGUCCCCGAAGGGACACUAUGUAACAUUUUUAGUUACAAACAAAUGACACUUUCAUCAACAAUAAAUGAUACUUUUAUCAAUAAUAAAUGAAACCAUAUUAAGGUAAAUAGGGUAAAUAUCACUUUAGGAUAGGGUUAGACCACAAACUUGUAUUAAAAUCAAAACUAUUAACUGUGAAAACAUCAUGAGUUUGUUUAAUUCAUUAUUUAUGAGUUUCUUAUAAGAUACCCCUUCCUUCGUUCCUAUAAAAAGUAGUCAUAAAUUUUCAUUAAUUUUUGUACGUCCAUAAAAAAUAGUCAUAUUUCAUUUAUAAACACUAUCCUUACCAUUCGGAUGAGUUAAAAUAAAAUUCAUGAUAUAGACUUGGAAACAAUUUCAGCCCUUAGAUCAUGACGGUAGAUUUAUUUUAGUACGUCCAUAAGUAUAGUAUUGUUUGGAAUAUAGGAUACUGGUAGGAGUCUCUAACAAACAAAUAUAGGAGGAUUUAUUGUUUUGAUAUAUGUAUGGACACUCUUAUUUGUGGAUAGAACAAGUUACAGAUGUGCGAGAAUUAUUUUGUUGCAUAGGAUCCUUCCGAACGUAAUACUCUCUCCGUCCACGAUAUCGUUUUCAUUUUUGCUAUUUUGAUCCGUACACAAUAUCAUUUCCAUUUUUAUUUAUAGCAGUAGGGUCCACAAACCCCACUUACAAAUAAGAAGACCAACCCCCACUCAAAAUACUAUCAAUUGCUAAUCCACUACUUUAUUGAAACUCGUGCCGUCCACAAAAUGGAAACGAUAUCGUGGACGGAGGGAGUAACUGAUUGAUUUACUGUUGGAUUAAUUAAUGGAUUACUUCAUAUAUAGUGUUCCAACUAUUCGAUAAAAGUCCUUAAUGAAAUAUUGCAUAGAUUACCUUGCAAAGUUCAUAAAACCAGAACGACACCCAAAAGCAUUGUUGCAUAGUCCGUAUAUAGAGACGGACGAUUAUUUUAUUUGUAGAUUUAGAGCAGACUCGAUCGCUUAGCCCUUAUUUAUUUACGACACACACAUCACAAAAUCACACAUAUUGACGAAUAAUGUUGCCGGCCAGCUCCUUCCUGCUCCUCGCGCCAGAAUUUGUUUGCACCAUGGUGGCCUUGAAAUUCCACAAGACGAUAUCAUGGGUGGCGACGUAUGGUUGGCUUAGUCCGCUGGCGGCGGAGAGCCCUACCUGAACCUGCUCAGGAAGAAAGCCGCUCAAAUCGUACUCAUAGCUGACCUCAACCGUCUUCCAGCCGUUGGUGGCGGUGACGGUGAUCAUCUGGGUGGCUCCGACGUAGUUAAUCCGCGCACUCACCAGCUGCCUGAUUAUGCCAUCGCUGAACUCCGUCGUGUUGCUGGAUUCCCUAGAUCCGAUGUCGAUGCCGAUGUGAGGAUAGCUCGGAUCCCACGGGUUGUUGACAAAAGUGUCAAACUCGACGGCGAAGACCGAUGGGCAUUUCCGGAGACUCCGAAGAUUCCGAGGUUGCCCCCGCUGCCGCCGUUGGGGAUGGUGGAGCCGACGGGGGCCAUGAAGAAGGUGAUGCCGUCAGCGGUGAGGUUGGUGGGGCUGGGUGUGAUUAUGAAGUUUACGGUGGUUUCAAAGUCGACUUGGCCGCCGGCUUGGGAGAACUGGACCGGGUUCGAGUGCAAGACCCGGCCGACACUGCCUAUCGUCGGGAAGGUGAGGCGGAGGAAGGGGGAGUUCCAUACGAAAUGGGCGUGGCCUUGGUAGGUGAGAUCGGUCGGCAAGUCGCUCCAGAAGUCGUAGGUGAAGGACGUCGAUUGGGACUGCGCAGUGUUGGCGGCAGCGGCGAGGAGGAGGAUGAUGGAGGAGAGGAGAGGAAUUAGGGUUUGGAGGAGCUUAGCCAUGGCUUAAUUGAGUAUAUUUAGAUGUGGUGGAUGAUGGUGGUAUCUCUUGCUCCUAUUUAUAGUGAAUAGUGUAUAGAGUAUAGUGUAUAUAUGCAUGAUAUUAUGAUUUAAUUUCCUAUGAAUUAUUGAACUUUCAUCAAAUUUUUAUUUUAUAUAUAAACUUCAAAUUAAAUGUAGCGUGAUAAUCACUAAAUUUAUUUAAUCUUAUAUUUGCUACCAAUCAGGAUUCUAGCCAAAUUNAAUAUAUUGGUGUGGGUCCGUGGACGUAGGCAGUUUGGCCGAACCACGUUAAAAAUAUCGGUGUCAUUUUUCUUCUCGUUUCAUAUCGGUCGAUAUCCACAAUAUUGAGUCACACUUGAUCCCGGGCGGAAUUAGUUGUGUCUAAUUUCCCAAUAACAAUCCUGGGCGGAAUUAUUGGCGUCUAUAAUUCCCAACAACAAUAUCAUGGAUGGCGACGUAUGGUUGGCUUAGUCCGCUGGCGGCGGAGAGCCCUACCUGAACCUGCUCGGGAAGAAAGCCGCUCAAAUCGUACUCAUAGAUGACCUCAAACGUCUUCGAGCCGGCGGUGGCACUGACGGUGAUCAUCUUCGUGGCUCCGACGUAGUUGAUCCGCGCAGUCACCUGCUGUCCGACUAAGGCGCCGUCGACCUCUGUCGUGUUGCGGGAUUCCCUAGAUCCGAUGUCGAUACCGAUGUGGGGGUAGUUCGGAUCCCACGGGCUGUUGACAUAGGUGUCAAACUCGACGGCGAAGACAGAUGGGCUAUUUCCGGGAGACUCCGAAGAUUCCGAGGUUGCCCCCGCUGCCGCCGUUGGGGAUGGUGGAGCCGACGGGGGCCAUGAAGAAGGUGAUGCCGUCAGCGGUGAGGUUGGUGGGGCUGGGUGUGAUUAUGAAGUUUACGGUGGUUUCAAAGUCGACUUGGCCGCCGGCUUGGGAGAACUGGACCGGGUUCGAGUGCAAGACCCGGCCGACACUGCCUAUCGUCGGGAAGGUGAGGCGGAGGAAGGGGGAGUUCCAUACGAAAUGGGCGUGGCCUUGGUAGGUGAGAUCGGUCGGCAAGUCACUCCAGAAGUCGUAGGUGAAGGACGUCGAUUGGGACUGCGCAGUGUUGGCGGCAGCGGCGAGGAGGAGGAUGAUGGAGGAGAGGAGAGGAAUUAGGGUUUGGAGGAGCUUAGCCAUGGCUUAAUUGAGUAUAUUUAGAUGUGGUGGAUGAUGGUGGUAUCUCUUGCUCCUAUUUAUAGUGAAUAGUGUAUAGUGUAUAGAGUAUAGUGUAUAUAUGCAUGAUAUUAUGAUUUAAUUGCCUAUGAAUUAUUAAACUUUCAUCAAAUUCUUAUUUUAUAUAUAAACUUCAAAUUAAAUGUAGCGUGAUAAUCACUAAAUUUAUUUAAUCUUAUAUUUGCUACCAAUCAGGAUUCUAGCCAAAUUUACUAUUGACAUUACAAAGUCGAGGAUAUCCUAAGAUGGAUUGAAACAUUAAGAUAUUCCAAGGAUCUUAAUAAUUUCUAUCAUUUGGCAUAAUUUUAUUUGAUUCAUAUCUCAUUGAAAGAAUAUGAUUUUUAUCCCCUCCGUUCACAAAGAUUGUAUGGUGAACUCAGGACAUGAGUUUUAAUAAAUACUUCUUCCGUCCCCAAAAUAACUUUCUAUGAGAGAGGGGCACGAGUUUUAAGAUAAAAUUGUUGAGUGUAUUCGAAGUGGUUAAAAAGUGUUAGUAUUGAAAGUGAUGAAAAUGUGUUAUAAUUAGUAUUUGAAGUGGUGAAAAGGUAAAAAAAUAGAGUAAAUAUAUGGAGUAUAUAUUAGUAGAAAGUGUAGAAAGAUCCACCAAAAUUGAGUGGAGAAAAAGAUCCACUAAAAUUGAUGUGUUAAAUGGUUGAAUAUUUUGUAAAUAUUGAAUGUGAAUGAUGUUUAAAAUGUAAGGGGCGUAGUUUCUAAAUAAAGAAAGCAUACAAUCUUUAUGGACAGACGAAAAUAAUAAUAAACAUACAAUCUUUGUGGAUUGAGGGAGUGAUAAACAUUUCAUUCAUUUAUUGUGGUUUGGAAUCGAUCUUUAUCAACAUUACAUGCAUUCACAAAUAUGAAGAAGGAUUUAAAACGUGUGACACCUUAUUUUAUAUUUAAAAUCGCAAUCACGAAGAGGACCACACUUAUCCUCUAAUCAAUGCUCUCCAUUAUUUUAUAGGAAAGGAUAAACAUGAUUCUUGGUUUAUUUAUGCUUUUAAUAUAUACAAUUAGAUGAUUUUUGGGGCAAAAAGUGAAGAUUUUGAUGUCCGACGGAGUCAAGUAAAGAAGUUGAAAAAAUCGAUUUUUGAUGCAAUUUUAGAAGAUCCAAAGAUGAUAAGAUCUGUGCUUGAGGGAACUUAUUUUGCAUAAGAAAGACUUUCAUUAAUUUCUUAAUUCGAGUAUAAAAUUAGAGGAUUAAAACCACAACUAAUGUUCCUUUGGCUUUUCCUUGAACAAUGUUGGGUAGCUAGUGAAUUUUCUUUGGUAAGUUCGUCCUUUUCUUUGACAAUGAGAAUUGACGUAAAUUGGAUUGUAUUGAAGAUUCUAGUAACAUUAUUCUAGUUUAUAUUUCAUGAUUUAAGGGCUGAAAAUAUGUAAGUAUGUUAAAGGCUAAAUUUUAGGUAAAUAAGUGCUCCAUACUUUGUUAAUAUGCCACUUUACAAAUAAUGUAUGUGUGAACUUGAAUUUGUUUUUUCAUUUAAAGAGAACUAAUAAUGAUAUCCAUUUCCCCCGUGAUGAUUCGAACCCCCAACUUAACAAUUACUGGUGAAACGUUUUAUCCAUGUGAUGACUCUAACCCCCCAAUUUAUAAUUAAUGAUUGGAUGGGAAGCGUAUUGAGGUUGUUAGUGAUUCUUCCAAGGUUAUUUUGUAACUAUGAACUAUCGAUUUUGUAUCAAUUGUACCCUGCAUUUGUUUUUUAGCUAGAGAAAAUAUGAGAAAAGAAAUGAGACAUUUAAAGGCAUAAAUUUUUGUUAUCCCUCAUUUUCUCAUCCAUCAAAGUGAACGCACCCUUAAAUGAUGAUUUGAAAAAAUAAAGUGAUUGUUUCUACGCUAAACCUAAUUGCGUUCGGCCUUUUUCGUUAUUUUAGUAUUUUCCUCAUUUAUUUUCAAUUCUGUUUCCUAUAUAUGGAUAUUUGAUGUAUGAGAAGAUGCUUUCAUAUGAUCCAUUUCAGAAAUAAAAUUAUUUAUUUUCUUUCUCACGAAGAGCGCUCACUUUGACAUCAGUAUCGCAUGAGCUGCACAUAAUUAAUGAAAGAAAAUAAGCAUACACUUGCAUUAUAUAAGAAGAGCAUAUAUACUCGCAGCCGUUUCUCAUAAAUUUCACGCAGUUUUUCGAUCUUUAGAGCCGCCGGCAUGCUCGGCCGAUCUGAAGCUCCAGUAGUCGAUAUCGUGAAGGGCGACGAGGUCGCCGGUGGAGGAGGCGAUUCCGACCUGAACCUGCGACGGAAGAAUUUCCCCCAAAUCAUACUCGUAUUCGAGAAGGCGAGUUUCUUUGUCGCAUUUGAGCGUAACGUCGAUGAAAUUGAUGCCGUCGUAUUGUAUGUGCAGCUGCGCCUCUUUCCCGAUGCACGAAUCGCCAAAUUUCACGAAGUUGCUCGACUUUAUCGAGCUGAUGUCGAUGCCGAUGUGCGGGAGAUCGUGGCUCGGAUCCCAACCGUUGGAGUAGAGGUCGAAUUCCACGGCAAAGAAGGCGGAGGCGGCCGGGCUAUCCCCCGAGGGGUUGAAUAGGCCUAGAUUGCCUCCGUAGGAACCCGGGGGGAUGGUGGUCCCCACGGGCGCCAUGAAGAAGGCGAUGCCGUCCGCGGCCGGGCCUUUUGUGGGGGUGAUGGUGAAUUUUAUGGUGGUAUUGAAAGAUACUACAAUUGAAUUUUCCCACAAUUUGAAGGGUUUGGAGUACAAUACGCGGCCGAUGCUCGACGGCCGUGGAAGGCCGUUGGCGUCGGUCUUGGUUAGCCGGAGGGAACGGGCGCCGUCGGGGACGUGGGCGUCGCCCUGGUAGGUUAGGUCGGUGGAGUUGGCGACGAAGGAGGUGAAGGUGAAGGAGGUCUUUUGUGAGGUCGCCUUGUUUGCUAGCAUUAGGAAAAAUGCUAUGCAAAAGAGGAGAAGAAUUAGGGUUUGUAGAAGCUUGGCCAUGGCUUGAUUUGAUGGGUGGAGUAUUAUUUGGAUGUAGUGAAUAGUGGUUGGCUCUCUAGCCCUAUUUAUAUUGGUUUAAUGCCACAUUCCAUUAUUAGUUUAAUAUAUUGUAGCUCACUAUUUUUUUUGAACUUUAUGGAGAAGGCAUGAGUUUUUUAAAAAAAUUGAGAAAUGUGUAUAAAAUGAAUAAAGAGGCUCACUAAAGUUGAUUUGGCAGGUAUUAAUAAAUUAUUUGUGUGAUGAGUUUUUUGUAAAUAUUGUGUGUGAAUGAGGGUAAAAUAUAAAGGUACAUAUGUCUUAAAAGGGACGGAAAUGACAAAUACUUAUUGUGGAUAAAGGUAGUAUAAUAUACGGAGUGUAUACUUAAGUUUAUCAAUUUUAUUACUAAAUUAAAUAUGGUUAAUUUAAUAUCAAUAUGCUUAUUAGUAAUUAGUAUUACUCCAUUCAUCCCAAAAACAUCAAUCUUUACUUAUUUUUUCGUUCGUCUCCAAAACAUCUUCCUAAUCUAUUUUUAUGUCCUGUAUUAAAUUUUCAAGCUAGUUUCACUCCCCAACUAUCGUUUAAAUUAUACAUACAUAUAUGGACGACUUGAAAAUUUGUUAAGGCAAUUGAUUAUGCCCAUGCCGUAUAGAAUCAAAAACCAUUCCUAAACAAAAAAUAGAAUAAUUAAGAAAAUAAUCUAGAAUAUAAAUAUAGAACUUAAAUUCUUUGCCACAAAUUUAAGUCAAUCAGCCGACAUAGUAAAUGUAUGUGUUUACAAGUAAUCAUGCCUUGUCUUGAGAUUCAAGUUGGCAAUUGAAGCAAAAUUUCUCACACAUAGCUAUCUACUCUAGCUAUGAAAUCAUGCAUUGUCUUGAGAUUUAAUUUGGCCCAUGAAUCCAAAUUUUGCAAUCAUGCCAUGUCUUAAGAUUCAAUUUGGCCCAUGAAACUAAAUUUCUUGAGCCUAUCUCUAACCUCUUUGAUAUUCAUAUAUAAUAACACCUUUAAAACACACACAACCCACUUCUAAAGUUCUACAUGUAUACACACGAACUCAUGCUUAUGUCACAAAUUAAGUUUUUCAAAAAUAAACUUUUCCCUAUUUGAAUUCCUUAUGUAUUCAGUUUGUUUUUAAUAUUUAAACUAUGUUAUUACAACAAAAUUAUCUAGCAGGGACAUGAUUUUAGCAACAUAAAAAAAGAUGUCAUAAAUUUCUUACUCCCUCCGUCCUCCGAAGCUUGAUCAACAAUUUCUUUUCGGCACGGAGUUUAAGGAGUUAAUAUUUUGUAUGUUAAUUAGUGUGGUAGGUGAAAAAAUGAAAAGAUGAAUAACGGGAAAAGUUGUUGCCAUAUAAGGAAAGUGAUCAAGCUUCGCGGAUAACCCAAAAAUGAAUACUGCUCAAGAUUCGCUGGAAGAAUGAAGUACAAUUUUAGGCAUAACAAAAAUUUAUUUACAUCCACACAUGCAUGCACCGAUACUUUAUCACAUGCAAAAUUACAAGUAACUUUGCUAAUUACAAAAAUUAAUACAUGAACCCUCAAAUGUCACUAGAUGUAAUGAUAUUUUUAUAUUUUUUCGACACACAUAAUAGUUACUCAUCACAAAAUAUCAAUAUUUUUAUCAUAUAGUGAUAUUUAUAAGUUUCACAAUUUUUCAAAUAUUAUGUCAAUGCUAGCUUAGACAUUUUGUUUUGACACUUUGUAUUGAAACAUGUUUUUUACAAAAAUAAAAUAAUUGAAUUUAUUAACGAAUAUUUAAACAAUCAAUCAAUAAUAACUACAAAGUGAAGCAAUUCAAGUUAAAAGGUAAAUUCUAAAUUUAAAUUUGAAAAACAAGAAAAUUCGAGCCUUAAUUUUUUUUAUUUUUUUAUAUACGCACUACAAAUCUCCCAUAAAUCUUAAAUCAAAAUUUAACCUUACAACAAAAAAUAAAUAUAUAAACUAAAAUGGAGUAUGAUAAUAUAGUUUUAUCAAAUUAUUUGAUAAUUCUAUUAAUAAAAGAUAAAAAAAAAAAUAAGGGGGGCCCACGGGCAUGCUGCCCCCAUAUGCUAUGGACCAUGGUGGCUAGGUCACUGCGCUCUCGAGAUCUACACUAUUUAUACGUGGUAUUCAUUGCGAAUUAUUUUGCAUUAUCUUUGUUUAUUUUUCUUAUAUUGGGAAAGAAAACAUGAGUAAUAUAUAGUAAUCUUUUAGAAGUCCAGUUACCAAUGUCGUCAAAAUUAUCUUGUCUAUUUUUAGAAGUUCAGAUAAACAUGCAACACAUUUUCAGAAGAAAUUUAAUAAUCUCUUACGAUUUACAUUUAUUUUUUAAAUAAUUAUCUCAGUGGUGAUAAAAUAAAAAAAUCGACUACAUUUUUCUAAGUAAUUUAUUAGAUACAAAAUAUUAUGAUUUAUGUUUGUAUAUUUUUUGUUUCCCAUUAGUGCAUUAUCAUUUCUAAGUAUCUUCUCACUUGUUCACUGAUUCACUAUUGGAUUAACAUGAAUAUACGAAUUUCAUAGUAUACCAACUGUUCGAUAAAAGUCCUAAAAGAAAUCUUCCAUAGAUAACCUUGCAAAUAACAGGAAACUAAAAUUACUCCCAAAGCAUUCCAUACAUAGAGAUGCGGAUUACCUUAUUCGUAGACUUAACGAGAGUACACUCGAUCGCUAGUCCUUAUUUACGACCCAAACUACACAUACAUUACAAAAUCACACAACUUGACGAAUGUUUCCACCGAGCUCCUUCCUGCUCUUGGCAGCGACGCCGACGUUUUGCACCAUGGUGGCCGUGAAAUACCACGCCACGAUGUCGUGUCUGGCGACGACUUGCCCCGUGGAGGCGGAGAGCCCGACUUGGACCUGCUCAGGAAGGAAGCCGCUCAAAUCGUACACAUAGCUGACCUCGAACGCUUUCGAGCCGGCGGUGACGUGGACGUCGAUCAUCUUCGUGGCGGCGGCGUAGUUGAUCCUUGCCGUCACCUGCUGCCCGAUUAUGGAGCCGUCGACCUCCGUCGUGUUGCCGGAUGACCUAGAGCCGAUGUCGAUGCCGAUGUGGGGAUAGUUCGGAUCCCACGCGCCGUUGACGUAGGUGUCGAACUCGACGGCGAAGACCGAGGGGCUGCUGCCGGAGGAGCCGAAGAUUCCGAGGUUGGAUCCGCUAGAGGAGGAAGGGAUGGUGGACCCGACGGGGGCGAUGAAGAAGGCGAGGCCGUCGGCGGCAGAGUUGCCGGGGCCAGGUGUGAUGAUGAAGUUUACGGUGGUUUCAAAGUCGACUUGGCCGCCGGUUUGUGAGAACUGGACCGGGUUCGAGUACAAUACCCGGCCAACUUUGGCGGUCUGUGCGUCGGUGAGGCGGAGGAAGGUGGAGUCCGACGGGAAAUGGGCGUCGCCUUGGUAGGUGAGGUCGGUCGGCUGGUCGCCCCAGAAGUCGUAGGUGAAGGACGUCGAUUGGGACUGCGCCACGUUGGCGGCGGCGAGGAGUAGGGCGACGGAGGAGAGGAGAGGAAUUAGGGUUUGGAGAAGCUUGGCCAUUGCUUAAUUGAUUUGGAUGUGGUGGAUGAUGGUGAUAUGUCUUAAGCUUGCACUCCUAUAUAUACUAGUGUAGUUCAUGCAUGAUAAUGUUGUUUAAUCAUCAUAUAUUUUAUUUCAUUAAAAUGAAUCACCUCGUCCAUUCGAGGUAAAUGAACCAUGUGAUCUUAUGUACUACCAGCCACAUUUUAAUUUGCUCGUUGGAAUAUUAUCUAUAGUUGUAUCUAUUGUAUUUGUAUAAAUGAUUUUUGGAAGGGAACUUAGAAAAAGUUCUUGAUAGGGGCUGUAUUUUUUAAUUUCAAGUGCAAAAUUAAGUUUUGAUAGACAAUUUACUUAUGAUUCAAUUUAACGAUCGGGUUUUCUGAAAAAAAAAAAUUCACACAAAAAAUCGAUUAUUUAAUAAUUUUAUAAGAAAAAAGAAGAAGAAGAAAUUUUCUAUUUAGGAUAUACACGAGCAGAUGAGAUCCUCUGUCCCACUAUUUUGUGUGUACCACCAUGUACCAUUCUUAAUUUAUUUAUUUUAGUAAUUAUUUUUUAUAAAAAUAAAAAUUAUUAUUAUAUUUUUUAUUUUCAUUUAAGUGAGUUACUAGAUUUAUUUGGGGUGAGCACAGGUUAUUUUGGAAAAGGAGAAUAUCUGUAAGAUGAUGUGAAAAUUAUUCAAUAUAAGCACAUAUAGGGGUUGAGUUCUCAAAGGAACUUAAUUAAUAUCCAAUGUGAUUGAUACAUUUCGACUAAAUGGAUGGACUGUGACGCCCCGACCAAAAGUAAAGAGUGAUUGUGAUCGGUGCACAAGGCAUGGAUGAAAAGCGGUUCCUAGUAAUGCUUCGAUACGGAGGAUACAUGAAUGAAUCGAAACACACCAGAAAGAGAGGGAUUCCAUGAGUACGUACGCAGGUAUAUGACUGCAUAUUCGAGGAGCUUAAAUAAUUUUAUUGGUGUUACUCAUAUCAACAAGAUGCAUCUUCUUUUUUGGUGACCAUAUGAAAUAAACUCCAAGGUUAAGCGUGCUUGGCGUAGAGCAACUUGAUGAUUGGUGACCUCCCUAAGAAGUUUAUCAGAAAGCGUGCUAGUAAGAACAAAACAUGCUAGAAAAGACUCAUAUUAGUCUGUGGGGACAGCCGUUAAAUUUGGAUUCGGGUCUUUACAAGUGGCAUUAGAGAUUAACCUCUCACAGUAUGGUGCGGUUCGGGAACGAACCAAGCGGAAGUUGGUACUCAAUAUUCCAUCUAUUGUGAGUUUCUUUGUCUUCUUCAUCUUUCUUUUACUCUGCUGUCGAGUUUCAGAGAGUAAUCAGAUAGGUUUUCAUUCGAGUUGAGUUUCUUGAGUGAUAAACUGUUAAUUGUGAGUUUCAUUCGAUCAUUUGUUGAUUAUAAAUAUCUGCACAUGGAUAUUGGUCAAUUUAGAUACACUGAUCUUCAAAUUGAUUGACGAAUCUUUAGAAUUCAAAAUUUAAAUCAAAUACGCGUGUUCAUAGUUAAUUGGUAAGUACACUUUUUUUUNAUAUAAAUAUAAUUGACUCGAGAUCUCUGCUACUUACGCAUACUUCGCUCGAGACAAAAAUAAAUAAUUGAUCAUUGAGAACUCCGCUACCACACCAUACUCGUGUACUAUUUAUCAUUGUUUAUGAUUAUUAAUAAAGACGUGUCUUUGCCUGAUAAAUUUAAUUUUCAUACUCUUGAUUCUUUUUUGGCCAUAUCAUUUUUUAAAAAAUUGGGAGGGGAAUGGUGGAAAUUGAAUAUGAAAAAUACCAGUCAAAUGAUACAUGUGCACUUUCAAAGACAAAACAUAAAUGUAACCUUCGUUUGUAAAACAUAGAAAUUCUACCAUAUAUUUGUGAUUAUUUUACCUUUAUACGAUCUAUUUAUAUAUAUUUAUUAGAAUUAAUAAAAAUAUACUACAUUCGUCCACGAAAAAGAAUCUCAUUGUGUGCUGGAUGUGAGUCGUAUCGAGAGUGAGAGGGAACACAUUGUCUCCGGUCUCUGCCGUCUUGGCGAGAUCUUCGGCAUUGGCCUGAUCCGGCCGCUGAGGUGGCCGGUAGGUCAUCCAUGGAGUAUGGCUAUAUUCAUACUCGUAUCCCAUUUUGGUUGUAGAACAAGAAGGCGGUGUUGUUGAAAUCGUCGUCGUUGAUAUCCUUUGGAAAACCGGCUGGGAUAGUUUUCGCCAUUAGAGUGAUGUGCGUAGAAGAGAGGAUCUUCCGGCGGUCUUCGCGGAAACCGUUGUCGCGUGUCCAUAGUUCAUGGAUUGAAAAUAUGCAGGUAAAGCACCCGGCGUACUCGGCCAUACAAUUAACUCGCCAUCAUGAGCUAUAAUUCUAUUCGAGUAAGUUCAAUCUCUAAUGAAUUAAUAUAUUUUUAUAAAUAUAUAAUUUGCAAAAUAACCUUAAAAUAAAAUAUGUAAUAAGGGUAAAAUAGGCAAUCCACAUGUUGUGCUCAAUGCUCUUUUUAUAUUACUAGGAGAAAGAUAAUUAAUGUUAUUUUAUCUAAUAAAAUAAAAAAUAUAAAUAUAAUAUUUAUUAUAUUUAAAUUUUUAAUUAACAAUUUUGUUUAUUUAAUUCUCUUAUCUCUUACAAUAUUUUUUUUUAGAAAAUCUAUUAGUUCAUUACUUCGACUAAAUAUAAUUUAUUGGAUAGAUAUAUUUAUUUAUAAGCCUUAUCAAUAGCUAUAGAUAUAUAUUACAUAGAUUUAAUGUAAUAUUUAAUGAAUCAAUAGCUCUUUUCUUUUAUAUUAGUAUAGAUUAUAUAGAUAGAUAUAUAUAGUGCAUGCAUGAUAAUGUUGAUUGAUCAUCGUAACUAUAUAAUUUAUUGCACUAAUAAUGAAUCACGUUCCCACUCGAGGUAUAUAAAAUGAAUCAUGUGACCUUUUCUACUACCCGACACAUUUUGCUCCUUGGAAUAUUAUUUAUAAUUGUGUCUAUUGUAUAGUGCAUGCAUGAUAAUGUUGUUUAAUCAUCAUAAAUCUUCAUGGCUCAUCCACCUCAUCCAAUCGAAGCAUAUAAUGAACCAUGUGAUCAUAUCUACUACCUGACACAUUUUGCUUCUUGGAAUGCUAGCUAUAAUUGUAUCUAUUGUGUGAAUGUAAGCAAAAGGGCGCGCACAAUUUUUUAUUUUUUUUUGGAUAGGUGACUCGCUCAAAAUACCUAUUGAAUUGACUCGUAAUCGCACGAGGUCAUUCUAGCGUAGUAAGCUAACCCAUGUCGUAUCUCACAAGGAAGAUUAAGCAGGACGACUAAUUUUGGAUUAUUUUUAAUCAAAUGUUGGAUAUUUUUUAAUUAGAGUAAAAUUAAAAUAAGUAAAUUAUUGUAUAUUUUCAGAUUCGGAAACUAAUGGCUUUAUUUUAAUUUAAUCAUUUUCAUAUGUCAGUUAUAUUAUGUAAAUGACGUUUUUAGUAACAAACAAAUGACAUUUUAAUCAAUAAAUGAUACUUUUAUCAAUAAUAAAUGAAACCAUAUUAAGGUAAAUAGGGUAAAGGUUAGACUUAACUGUGAAAGCAUCAUGAGUUUUAUGUGUAACAUUUUCGGUGUGAAAAUUGAUGAGUUAAAAAAAAUGCUCCAUAUUGAAUUCGACAUUAGAUGAAUCUACAGUAGAUUUUCAUGCAUGAUCUAAGAGCUGAAAAUGAUUCACGGUCUAUAUUUAUUCUAUCAAAUUCCAUAUCACUUUAAAUCUCAAAUUACAUUUGCACUAUAUAUGAUUAUAUCCUAAAUUAUCAUAAAUAUGAACCGCUUAAAUCUGGCGUCGUUGCACCGCGGACAUCUUGCCGCUGCUUUCUCCCACCAUUGCCCUUGCUGCCCUCAUCUUAGGUGCCAAUUUUUUGCUCGUCGUGCAGAAUUUGAAAGGGGUAAAUUAUUUUUUCAAUUUUUUAUUGCAUUUUGCUGUCUAAGUUGAUUUCUCAAGUAAAGUGGACUUGGGUUUUGUUUCGAUUAUAGCUGAAUUCGAUGGCGCUGUGUGGUUAGAUCUGUAAUUUUGACGUGUUGUUGAAGUGUGCGGGAUUGAAUGUGAUCUGGGAGAAUUUAAGGGUUUUGGGACGUUAGUAUGAUGAUGGUGGGAUUUGAAUGAAUUUGAAUACCAGAUUAUGGUUGAUGUUUAAUUAUGUGAAUCUUGCGAUCUGUGUUGAAAUUAAUGUACAGUAUCUUCGCCUAGCCGGGGGUUCACCAUUUGGUUCCCGACCGUCCUGCUGCCUUCACUCCACACUCAAGUGCCAAUAUCUUCUUCUCGUUUCUCUUCCUUCUUCUUCUCCUCUUAGUACCUGCAAGACAGAAGGAAAAACCAGCAAGUAUAAAGAAAAAUCAGAAAACUUAAAGAAGUAAAGAAAGAAAGAAAACAAAGGAAACUCGAGGUGGGAAAAAGGUGUCCUCGGGACACAGGUGGCUCAGAUUUUUCCCACAGUGGCAACACACUCCGGCAGCUCAAAGACCACGGCACAAAGGGGAAGGGAAGUCAGAUCGGAGCUCAAAUCUGACGAGCACAGCCACCAAUAAUCAGGAAUCCGGUGGACAGGAUUCCGGCGGCUCAGAAAUCCUUCGCUUUAUCACCAAACAGGAAAUCUAAGGUCAGCAAUCCGACAAUAAUGCUAUCAACAGGAGGAAGCUCUCACUUUACGGCCACAACACCGGAAACCAGAACGGAAACCAGAGAACAGAAGGAAUAGCAGAGCCUUCAAGGUUGUGAACAUACUACAGAACUUCCCCCAAUCGAUUGCUUUAUAACCGAGACAGAGAAGGGUCGGGAAGAUGUAGUGGGCUUUGGGAAGGAGGAGGAAGCCAUUAAUGGUGGUGGAGCUCGAGGGAAAGCGAGAUCAGCAGUCGUGAAGACUUAGGGUUUGGGAGGGGAUUUGAGGUGGAGCGGCGGAGGUUGAAAUGAGGGAAAGGCCGAGUGAGAGAGGGAGUAUUUCAGUGGAUAAUGGGCUAGGGUAUUUUUGAGUUAACGGGCUAUAGGUGUCUGGGCCCAAAAGUUGGGCCAGAGAAGGGAUAAAGAGCAUUGGGCCAACAUUCCACAAUUAAGACAAUUAAGAGUAGAAAUUCUUCUUGAUUUGCUAAUUUAUUUAGGAUUAGCGAUAUUAGUUUGGAGUUUUAGAUGUCGAUUGAUUUCGUGAUCUUGAUUUAUGUGAUAAAUGCCUCUCAUCACUAAGAUUUGGAAUAUAUUGGAUAUCUAGGAUAGUGAUAUUAGUUUGGAGUUUUAGAUGUUGAUGUGUCUUUUUAGGCUGCGUUUACUUUGAUGGAUAAAUUUAUAUAUGGAAAAGGAUGGAUAACACAAAUUUAUGCUUUUAAAUGUCUCCUUCCUCUUCCAACAUUUGACACAAAAAGAGAUGCUCGCUAUUUUUUCUUCCUUAUCUUCACUUCAAGGAUGGAUAAUAUUAUCCCUCCAUUUUGGUGUGAUAAUAUUAUCCAUCAUUGAAGUGAAGAUAAGGAAGGAAAAAUAGUAGAGCAUCUCUUUUUGUGUCAAAUGUUGGAAAAGGAAAGAGACAUUUAAAGGCAUGAAUUUGUGUUAUUCAUCAUUUUCCAUAGAUAAAUUUAUCCAUCAAAGUAUACGAAGCCUUAUGUGAUAAAUGCUUUUUUAGGGGGGCCCACGGGCAUGCUGCCCCAUAUGCUAUGGAGUAUGGACCAUGGUGGCUCGGUCACUGCGCUCUCGAUUGCGAAUUAUUUUGCAUUAUCUUUGUUUGUUUUUCUUAUAUUGGGAAAGAAAACAUAGAGUAAUAUAUAUUUUAGAAGUCCAGUUACCAAUGUCGUCAAUCUCGAGUGAAAAUAAAUAUUACCAUAACACAAAAAUGACAAAGCUAUUGAUUAGUGACGAUAUGUUAGAAGUUCAGAUAAACAACACAUUUAUUCUUGUGUAUAUUAUAUUAACGUUUAUUAUAUAUUAUAAAAAGAACAUAUUCUUUCAAAAUUAUCUUGUCUAUUUUUAGAAGUUCAGAUAAACAACACAUUUUCAGAAGAAAUUUAAUAAUCUCUUACGAUUUACAUAUAAUUUUUAAAUAAUUAAUUAUCUCAGUGGUGAUAAAAUAAAAAAACGAAGUAAUUUAUUAUAUACAAAAUAUUAUGAUUUAUGUUUGUAUAUUAUUUGUUUCCAUUAGUGCAUUAUCAUUUCUAAGUAUCUUCUCACUUGUUCACUGAUUCACUAUUGGAUUAACAUGAAUAUACGAAUUUCAUAGUAUACCAACCGUUCGAUAAAAGUCCUCAAAGAAAUCUUCCAUAGAUAACCUUGCAAAAGUACGUGUAUCUAUAUUAAUAGAAUAAGAGCCUAAGGAAUCUUAAAACACAAUUUUUGGAUUGCCUAUUUUACCACUAUUAUAUAUUAUUUUAAAAUUAUUUUACAUAUUAUAUAUUAAUAGGAAUAUAUUAAUUCAUUAGAUAUUACACUAAAUCUAUGUGAUAUAUUUCUAUAGCUAUUGAUAAGGCUUAUAAAUAAAUAUAUAUCCAUCUAAUAAAUUAUCUAAUAAAAGUAAUGAAUUAAUAGAUUUUUUAAAAUAAUAAAUUAUCAAAUAAAAUAACAUUAAUUACACACGUACGUUCUUUCUGCUAGCUAGUUAAAUAAAAAGAAGAAGAAACUGAGACUGAAAAAGGGAGAAUUAAGAUAGUCCAUUAUUAUCGUCUUAUUUUUAGAACUUAAACGAGAGAAAAGUCCAUCGCUAGUCCUAAUUUACAACACAACACAACACAUGAUAAUAAAUUUAAAUCACACAUAUUGCCGGAUGUACCCUUCCUCCUCUUUGCCGGCGGCGGCAUGCACGAGGGUGGACGUGAAAUACCACGAGACGAUGUCGUGCACGGCGUCUUGGCCUCCGGUGGCCGCGGAGAUCCCGACCUGAACCUGCUGAGGAAGAAUGGCGCUCAGGUCGUACACAUAGCUCACCUCGUAUGUUUGCGAGCCGGCGGCGAGGCUCACGCUGAUCAGCUUAGUGGCUUCCAGGUAGUUGAUGCGCGCAGUCACCUGCUGCCCGAGCAACGCGUUGCCGACGUUGGUCACGUUUUUGGAAACAUUAGAUUCGAUGUCGAUCCCGAUAUGGCGAUAGCUAGGAUCCACUCCGGGGUUGGAGAAGACGUCGAAUUCCACGGCGAAGACGGCGGGGCCGACGCCGGAGGAGUUGAAGAUUCCGAAGCAGCCGCCGGUGAAGCCGAGGGGUAAGCCGACGGGGGCGAUGAAGAAGGUCACGCCGUCGGCGGGGUUCGUGUCGCCUGCGUUGGGGGUUACGGCGAACGUCAGGGUGGUCUCGAAGUCGACCUGCGCGCCGGCCUCCCAGAACGUGAUCGGGGCUGAGUACACGGCCCGGCCGACGCUGUACUGGACCGCGCUGCCGGAGCUGGUGGUGUUGGUCAUGCGGAGGAAGGUGGAGUCCGACGGGAAGUGGGCGUCGCCUUGGUAGAGGAGAUCGGUCGGCUGGUCGCCCCAGAAGUCGUACGUGAAGGCUGUCGAUUGGGACUGCAUGCGCCGUGUUGGCGGCGGUGGCGAGGAGGAGGGCGAUGGAGAUUAGGGUUUGGAGAAGCUUGGCCAUGGCUUAAUUGAGUUAGUAGUAUUUGCUUUGGAUGUGGUGUGAUGAUGGUGUAUUGGUGUUAACUCUUGCUCCUAUUUAUGCUAGUAUAGUGCUUGAAUGAAAAUGUUAUUUAAAUUAACAUCAUAUUUUUUAUUACACAAAAAUGACUCACCCCAUCUUCUCGAGAUUAACUGAACUUGUGAUCUCUAAUAAUUUAUAACCUACCACAUUGUAGUUGUUGGAGUAUACUCCCUCUGUCCCGGUUUUAGCACGAGUUUUAAUAAAUUGGUUGAUUGUAUUAUGAGUAGAAUAAGGAUAAUAUUUUUUAUGGAAGUGUUAAAAUAAUUAAAAUUGAGAAAAUGUUUCACCUAUUUUUAUUAAAAAUAGAAAUGAAUUUUAAAAUAUGGGACGACGGCCAGAAAAAGAAAAUAUAUAUGGAUACUAAAAGUUGGGACGGAGUGAGUAUUAUCUAUAGUGGUAUCUAUUGUAUGAGUACAAGAGAUUUACUUGACUUGUUGAGGUAUGGAGAGAUUAUUACAAACCACGUGAAAUUGAGUUCUUGCUCCCACUGUAAAAGCAAUAAAUAUAGGGAAAAGAAAAUUAAUACUUCCUUCGUCCAAGAAAUGAGUACACAUAUUUCUUUUUUAGUCCGUUCAUGAAAUGAGUACUCAUUAAUUUUUCUUUUUAUCAAGUGUACCUCACACAACCCUUUAAUUAAUUAAUACCUUUAAAAAGUGGGUCCCUUAUUCCACUAACACCACACUCAAUCAUUUCUUAAAACCUGUAACGUCCCCAAAUGAGAUUCAUUUCGUGGAUUGAGUAAAUUCUAUACUACAAAUUAAUGGUUCGAAUUCACUUUAAAAAAUAAACUACAAUUAAGAGUCCCUCUCUUAAUUGGAAUUCAUAGACCAUCUGCUUCAGUCGUGCCCGAAGACAGAAAAGGUUUGGAUUGGAAUUCAUAGGUGGCUAGGGAAUAAAAGCAGUGUGGCCUCAAUCAUUGAAGCACACUUCGAUUUGUUCACAAAUCUUGACAAAGGAAAGGAAGGUCGAUUUUUCUAGCGACAGUAUGGGUCUAUACCAUUUGGUUGCUGUGGAAAUGACGUAACGAGAGCAGAUUUGAGGGCAAGACUUGGGAGAUCAAUGACGUGAUCGAAGAAGUGAAAGUGAGGAUGUGGAGUUGGAACAAGAUUUUUGGACUACAUGUUAAAGAGAUUAGCUCUCAAUCUUGGUUUUCUUGUGAAACUCCUCUUGUUUUGUGUAAUUUGGUCGUAUCUCUGGUACCAAACUCUCUCCUAAUAAAAUUUCUUUUCUGAUUAAAAAAAAAAAAAAGAGUCCCUCUCUUAAUCAAGUAGACUGGAUGCGGUAAGAGAGAAAUCACUUCCAACUUAUCGAUUUUACUAGCAACAACUAGAUUUAUACUGAAGCUAAAUUGGAUCAGACUCUAGGAUUCACUAGUCUUUUACUCAAGGUGAGUCGGUUUACGAGUCUCAAACUCAAGGUGAACUAGAAUGUCUGUCAAUACGAACGUUGGGAGUUCGAGGGUUUUUUAGGACAGUAACUUAGAUUGAUUUGGAAAUUAGGACAAUAACUUUCGGACUUGUAAAAAUAGGACUCUAAUUCUUUUUAAGAGUAAAAUAGGACACUAAUUAAUAAGUGUUACAUCCGCAGGACAUUUUUCGGCCAAUUAUCGGCCGAGAAAUGUCCUACUUUUACGACGCUUAUUAAUUAGUGUCCUAUUUUUACAAAUUCGAAAGUUUUGUCUUAAUUUUCAAAUCAACAUAAGUUAUUGUCCUAAAAAAUCCCCUGACUCCGAACGUUGGAACAAGCUCGGCAAUAUACUGCUAUUCAACAUUAAUGGCACUUUGCACUAAAUGAAUUGGUGUCGAAUUAAUACAUCGUCUUGCUGCUCAUAUCUAUAUAAUAAAUGCAUACCUGCACCUCGAUAUUAAUCAAUUUAGAUACACUAAAUCUCGGAUAUACUUAACAAAUGGAUUAAUAAAUGUAUAAAUUUUAGAUUUCAGAAAAUCAAAUACAGGUGUUCAUAAGGAAAUGAUUAAAAACCCGUGUGUCAUUUAGAUAAGAUUAUUAUAGUACAGUUAACGAUGGUGAAAUAUUCUUUUACAUUAGAUAUAAUAGCAUUCCAGAUCUCAAUGGCAUUUUUUGUUAUAACAAAAAAAAAUUGUAUAUGUUCCAUACUAUCCUCAAACUUCAAAUUAUUAUUUUUCUUUAUUUUAAAAUUUGUAUUGGCACAUAUCUGUCAAUUAAUCAAAUUCAUAUCAAAACAAUAAUUCGAAUGAUAUAUUAGUUGGCUAGCUAUAAAUUACAAAUUAUUAGUGAUUAGGCAUGUUUUACACAAAUUAUUAGCCCAAACAACAUUUGAUUGUGUGCAAUGCACACACUUACUAAAAGCAGAUGUGAUCAUCUGUCCCACAAUUUAGUGUGUAUCACCGUGUACCAUUCUUAAUUUGUCUAUUUUAUAAUUAUUUGUUGUAAAAAUAAAAAAAAUAUUGUUAUAUUAUGAACUCUAAUUAAAAUUUAUAACUAAAAAUAAAAAUUAAAAAAAAUUAUAUACCCUAACUUUGAAUUAAUUAACCCAAAUAAUCAAUUAUUAAUUCAAAUAAAUAUAAAAAAUAAUUAUAAACUCUAAUUGAAUGAGUGAACCCUUAUUAAUUAGUUUCUUAUUAUAUUAUAAUAAAUUAAAAUUGAAGAAAAUAUAAUUAUAUAUUAUAAUAAAUUAAGAGUGGUACACGGUGGUACACACUAAAUUGUGGGACAGAUCCAUGUGCACUAAAUUAUAGGUACGGAGGUGCGGAUGCGGGGGCGAUACGAUACGAGUACGGGGAUACGGGUUCUAAAAAAUUAUAGGGUGCGAUUCGGCAAGGAUACAUCUAAUUAUUAAAAUUUUAUGAUAUACUAAUUGUUAGAAAUGGAUAUUGGGCCAAUUCCUCCCUUAAAAGGCCUUAUAAGGGAGAGGGUUACCUCACCAUAUAAAGUGGCUCAUGCCACUAUCUCCAAUCCAAUGUGGGACACUUCAAUACUAAUGCUUAUAAAAUAUAUACAAUUUAAAUUUUCUUAAAUUAAUUAUAUGUAAUUUACAUUUUAUUUUACCCAAAAGUUAAGCAUUUUCAAUUAUAUAAGUUAAUUGAGCAACAAUAUAACGAUUCAAAUAUUAUUAGUCCAAUAUAUAAGUCAUAACUGAAAAUAAAAUUAUCAAAAUAACCUUGUGUAGGCCUUUCGUGCACGAGAUACGUGAAUUUCGCCUAUGGAAUUUGCAAAUCCGGUUUAUUUUUAUAAAUUGUUUUAAAAGAUACGCACUGGUGAAUCGGUGCGAAUCCGACAAGAAUUCGAGAAAUCACACCCUAAAAGAAUCCGAUUCGCCGUACAUCUAAUUUUUGAAGAAUCCGUGCAUCAUAGGUGAGAAGAAACACAAGAGAGUAAAAUGGUACAUAAUGUAGAAAGACUUUUCUCCAAAAUAAAUGUUACAGUCUUCUAAUAGUCGAAAGGCGCAUGAAAAUGCGCAGUUAUUCGAAAGAAAGGAAAGGCUUAUUCAGCCACACAAUGACAUGGAAUUCGAAUUGAAAUUGAAAUUCAGACAAAUCCCAAACACGGUGAUGCAGAGAUCAAGCGGUAACACGAGGAAUGAUCUUAAUACCACCGAUGGUAACUUCGUCGCCGUUAAUGUGGGGAACGAUGGUGACGACAAUGAAAUCAUCAUCAGCAAUAUUGAUGUUCUCAUAGAGCUCCCUCAAGUUCAAGCGAAGGUCGUUGGCGCUUUCCGCAGCCCUAACCCUAUGCGGAAUCUGCGUGAAACUGCCGGCGAACUCGGCCCUGGCGAGGUCCUCUGGCUUGUCGUCUUCGUCAUUCACGAACACAUCGAACCUCACGAGCUUCGAACUAUCGGUGAUUAUGUUCUCCAGCACGAGCACUUCGUCGGCUUUGCCUUUGGUUGGUUUGGGCACCAAAACCCUGUGAGUCUUGUUGAGAGUGAGAGGGAACAGAUUGUCUCCACUCUCUGCCCUCUUGGAGAGAUCUUCGAUAUUCACCGGCACCUCCCUCCGCGGUGGCCGGUAGGCUGUCCACGGAGUUUCGCUGUGUUCAUACACGUAUCCCAUUUUGGUGUGGUCCAAGCAGUCGGCCACCUUGACGCGCACGAGGUUCUUCUUCUCGUCGUAGAACAUGAACGCCGCGUUGUUGAAAUCGUCGGGGUUGGGGACGACGAGGUCGUUGAUAUCCUUGGGGAAAACGGAUGGGAUAGUUUUCCAUAUGGUCCACAUUCUGUCGACGUUAGCGUGAUGUGCGUAGAAGAGAGGGUCUCUUCCGGCGGAGUAGAAGUUCCCCAUGUCUUCGCGGAAAUCGUUGGCGGGGUUUCCGGUCCAGACGUGGACGCCGCCGUGUGAGCCGCCCUCCGACAAUCCUCCCUUGGCGCGUGGCGGGGGCAAGUCCCCGGAAACGUAAGGAUCGCCCAUGAAGUCGAUGGCGGAUUCGACAUCACCAAUCAUUUCCUUGUACAUCUGAGUGAGAUUGUUUUCGAUGAUCGUUACAGGAUCGGUGAUCGGGGGGGUGGUUAUGGCAAGAGCAACGAGGGCCGGGGGGCGAUGCGUUGGGUCGCGGUUGACGUCGUAGAGCGGGGAUUCUUCCCUGUCGAACGGCCUGGGCAUCUGCAUACCCCUAGGGUUGUCCCAGUUCCAGUAGGGCAGGGCGAAAUCGGGAUCUCCGAUGAGUUCGCCCAUGAUCCUCUCGAAGAAAUAGAGGUACCACCUGUGGAAGGGGUGGAUCCAGAAUUUGUCAUUAGGAGGGACUAAAUUUGUUGAAGCAUGACGUCUCAAAUUAUUAGCCAAUUUUUUUUAGCAUUCCAUACAGUUCAUUUUUUUGUCGAACUACAUUCGAUUAAUUCAACAACAAGAACAUUGAAAGCAUAUAAAUACUUACCUCUCAAAAAUUGUUUCAUCUUCUAAGAAGAUAAGCUAAUUUUCAUCAUGGCAGUUCAUAAUUUUAAUUUAACUUGAGGAUUGACUCAAAUUCAACACUGAGAAUCAACUAAGAAAGGAAAGUAGACAAAAAUAACAUAAAUUUAACAAACUAACAUAUCAAAUUUAAAUCACUAUAAAAUAUUAAACAGUUAAAACGUGGAUACUAUAAUUAAUAAAACAAUGUAUUUUAUUAUCUCUUGUAUUUCUUAUCUAUACUAAUAGAAAAAGAGUCUAAGACAGUCUAAGGCACAACUUGUGGAUUGCCUAUUUUACCCUUAUUAUAUAUUUAUUAUUAUAUUUACAAAAUAUAAAUCUAUUUUGAUAAAUAUUUAUUUGUCACUCAAAUCUAUAAAGAAUACUUUAUAUCUAUAGCUAUUGAUAAGGCUUAUAAAUAAAUAUAUUCAUCCACAACGUACGUUCUUUCUGCUAGUAUAUAAUAAAAACAAAAACAAAAAACUCAAAAUUUGGGAGGCGGUCGAUCCGCUGCUAACCUGUGGAAAGGGAAGAAGAUCCAUGAGUUGUGAACCUGGAUAUCGAUGCCGGGGUGGUCCACCUGGUCGUAGGGGCCGUUGCAGUAAGCGCAGUGGAUGUUGGCCUGCUGAGUGAAGCCACGGGGAUCGUCGGGGUCCGUCACGUCCAGUUCCUUCAUCUUCUGGAUGGCCAACUCAUACUUGCGUACGUAUUCCGGUGUCAGCCUGUGCGCCGCCGGCCUAACGCGAGGUUUAGUGAACCUCGGAAGCUUGUAGUCGCUCUGAACGUCGGUGUAGGGCGGGCAGCAGUUGACGUCUAGAGAUAUUACCUCUUGGUUUCGAGUGGUGUAGGCACCUUCGGGGUCGCAGGUGCUCAGGUCAGGAGGCAAAAUCGGAAGCGCCUCAGCUUUGCGGAUGGCGCUGCCUGCGCCGUAUAGACCGCCCAGCCCAAGCAGCAUGUUUCUGCGGUCUAUACGGCCGCUGCCACCGCCACCGCUGCUGCAUGACACCUGAAAGCGGCCGUGGCUCCGCCGGCUGCUGAGCUGGGAGGGCUUGCGAAAUGGGGAGUUGGUGGCGGCGGCGAUCGCCGUGAAUGAAGAUUGAAGGGAAGCCAUGUUUGAGUGAUUGAUUGAUGGUCGUUGUGAUUACCUGGGGAGGCAUGUCUUUAUAUAGCAGAUGUGACACGAGUUUUAAGAAAAAUAAAUUAUCCGUUGAAUAAUUAAAUCGCCAUGUUUCUAUAAUUUAUUCCUAAUGGAUCUAGUCAAACUAAUCGUGCAAUAUUUAAUAAACCACGCAGCAUCAUUUCCGAGACUAAUAAAUGACAUUUUGAACCAGCUAAUCAAUUCCAUAUAAUUAACCAUUUGCGAGGCUGGCUGCCCUUCACUAAAUGGUUGUAUGCACUUGUCUUUGGAAAAGCUGUUUGGCCAUAUUAUGGCCAGUCAUAAUAUGGGAAAAUAUUAUAAAAGUCAUGUAUUUAAUUUUUUAUAUUUAAAAUAAAAAUAGGAUUUUAUUAGUUUUAUUUUUUAUUACAUAUUUUAGCUAUUUUUUUUUAUAAUUUUUCUGAAUUUUUUAGAAAAAUAAAAAAUAAAAUUACAAUGUGAACAAAAUUAUAAAACUAAUAAUGGUAGAGCAGCGGAGGGCACAGGUGAAGGGCAUGGCGGCGGUGUACUUAUUUUAGUCAAGUAAUUAUUAUUGCACGAAAAAAUAAUUAUUAAUAUAAAGAAAGAUAAUGUUUCAAAGACAUUAUCUUUCUUCAUGUCUAUUAAUUUUUCAUCACAAUAAUAAUUACUUCGAAUUAUCCGUGUUUUCAAUCGUGCGACCUGCACCCAGCCCGACCCGACCCGUUUCACCCAUAUAGUCAGUCUCACCCAAGUUUUUGCCUAAAGAUAAGUAUUAAUUAGUUGUGUAUGGUGAUAUGAGUCUUGUUUGUAUAAAUUAGUAGGCCUUUAAUAAUGAAUUGGCCCAUCUCAGGUGGUUUAUAUAAUUUACUCGUAUGGAUCUAAAUACAACUAAUCAUGAAAUAUUUAAUAUACCACGGAGCAUCUUUCUGAUAUACUAUUUAUAUAGUAAUUUAUUCCUAAUGGAUCUAAUCUCUGACUAUUUAAUAAUUAACUCGCCAUCGUUUAAAUAAUUUACUCCUUAUGGAUACACUCAAAGUAAUCGUGCAAUAUUUAAUAUACCACGCAGCAUCAUUUCUCAUACAAUAUUUUGGACCAUCUAACCAAUUACAUAUAAUUAAACCUUUUGCCAGGGUGGCUGUCCCUUCCACUAUAUGGUUGCAUGUAUUGAAUUGAAAUUUUAUUGAGGAAAAAAUGAAAAGAAAAACUAGGAAUUCAUUGAUAGCACGAAGACGCUAAUUAAGGGCUGAGCCUCAUCAAAACCUUUCCGAUAAAAAUCCAGUGAAAAAAACCACCAGCAAAGGAAAAAGAGUACCAGUCUAUUACAAUAAAAAAAUGAAGAACAAACUCAAGACAGGAACAACGAGAAGCACGAGAGGAUGAUAAAACAUCUAACCCGAAAAAAAAGACCCAAACCAAAGGAGCCUGACAAAUCCGGAGCCAGUACCAGCGCACCAGGAAACUGAAAAAGUUCUGGAGAAGCCACUUCGACCCAAGCACGCCAACCAUCCAAAAGAAACGACUACCACACCCACACCUAGGCCAAGAAAUAUAUAAUAUUGUGAAUAGUUCCCAUGGGAUCGAAACAGACCACCAAAACAAGAAAAAACCUCUAAGAGCAGACUACUCAUUGCCUGCCUGCCUAGUAUUCGAUGAAAUACCCAAACCAGAAAUCAUAGCAUAAAGCAAAAACCGCCACAGCUGGGGAGCGAAGAGCAGAAGGCCACCAAUAAGAUACAUUAGGAUUGCGCAAAGUCUGACAAAGAAAUCAGAAAACUUACCAGACCACUCUAGUUAAUGUAAUCUAUACAUGUCCGCACAUGAAAUUUGGUCAAGUUAGAUACACUAAUCUCAAAUCUAUUUAAUUAACAAAUUGAUUGAUUGAUAUUUUUUUCUGAGAGAAAUUGAUUGAAUAAUUUUUAGACUUCAAAAACUAAUAGUUAAUUGAUUGUUUAGAUAAGAUUAUUAUUACACUUUUAUAUAGAGAUAAUUAGUACUUGAGAUAUGUGCAAUUUACGCAUUCUUCUCUCGAGACAAAAUAAAUAUUAUUGACCAUUGAGAACUCUGCUACCACUACUCCAGUUCUAUUUAUUAUCAGUGUGCCCUCUCGCGCGCUGCACGGGUCACAACAUAUUUGAUUAUUUAAUUUUAGCUGUUUACGCAUACUUCGCUCGAGACAAAAAUAAAAUAAGAUUUAUUGAUCAUUGAGAACUCAGUACCACACCAUACUCGUGUAUACUAUAAUAUUUAUCAUUGUUUAUGAUUAUUACGUGUCUUCGCCGAUAAAUUUAAUAUUCAUUCCUUUAAUUUUUUUCUAUUGACAUUGGAAACUGUCUUGAUUCUUUUUUGGCCAUAUCAUAUAUUUAAAAAAUUGGGAGGGGAACGUGGAAGUUGAAUCUGAAAUAAGAAUCAAAUGAUACAUGUGUACUUUCAAAGAUAAAACGCAAAAUAUAUCAUUUUUUUGUAAAACAUAUAAAUUCUACUAUUUAUGAUUAUUUUAAAUUUAUAUAAUCUAUAUUUGUAUGUAUAUAUAUUCUCCAUUUGUUCAUGAAAAAGAGUCUCAUUGUAUGCUGAAUACGAGUUUUAAUAAAAUGGUUGUAAGUGUGAAAUAAAUGUAUAAUUUGUAAGAGUCUUUACAUUAGAUUAUAUUUUACUCUCUUCGUCCUAUUGAUAAUGACUCACUUUUCUUUUUCGUCUGUCUCAUUGAUAAUUGCAUGUUCCAAAAAAACUGAAACCAUUUGACCUCACAAAAUGUUGUGGGCUCCACUACUUUUUAUCACUUUUAUCCUUUAAUUACUAUUCUUAUUAAUAACCGUGUCGAACAGUAAUGAACUAUUAUCAAUGGGAGGGAGGGAGUAAUAUUUUAAUUUUGUUUGCUGCCACCACCACCACCACCACCACAAUUUAAAAAAAAAAAUCUACGUGAAUAUAGUAAUUAUUAGAACAAAAAAAUAACUAUAAUAAUAAUAUAUUAAUCCGUUAAUUAUCUAUACUAAUAUAAAAAGUGCAUUUGGCACAAAAUAUAUAUUGCCUGUUAUAUCCCUAUUAUAGUAUUUUAUUUGAAGGACAACUUUGUAAAUUAUAUAUUAUAUAUUUAUAAGAAUAUAUUAUUUCAUUAGAUAUUACACUAAAUAUAUUUGAUAUAUAUCUAGAUCUUAUGCUAUAAUUUUUUUUAUAUUAAUUAAUUAUUAUAUAUUGUGAUUUAAUAGAAUUAUACAACUCUAAUAAUUUAUAAAUGUAAAGUUCAGGGAUUGCAUGCAAUGCACACAUUCUAUGCUAGAAAAAAAAUAGAAUUCACUAAGCCGAUGAUAAAUAACACAUACAACGUACUAUUUCUGCUAGUAAAUUAAAAAUCUAUAUGAUUUUAUCUUCUAUCACUACAUUAAUUAAAAUCUAUCUUCCGUUUCAUAUUAACGGUGGUUUUUCAAUAUUUUUUAUAUUAAUUACUACAUAUUGUGAAUUUAUUACAAUUGUUAACCUCUAACAAUUCAUUAAUAUAAAGUUGAUGGAUUGUGUGUCAUGCACAAACUCUCCUGUACUCAUCUAAAAGACUCUAUAUGUGAGAAGAAACCGCAGGAGAGUAAAAUGGUACAUAACAUAGAAUAGAAAGACUUUCACAAAAUAAAUGUUACAUUCUUCCCGUAGUCGGAAGGAGCAUGAAAAUGCGCGGUUAUUCGCAAGAAAGAAAGGCUCACUCAGCCACACAAAACAUGGAAAUCCUAAACACGGUGAUGCAGAGAUCAAGCGGUAACACGCGGGAUGAUCUUAAUACCACCGAUGGUAACAUCGUCGCCAUUAAUGUGGGGAACGAUAGUGACGACAAUGAAAUCAUCAUCAGCAAUAUUAAUGUUCUCAUAGAGUUCCUUCAGGUUCAAGUGAAGGUCGUUGGAGCUUUCCGUGGCCCUAACCCUGUGCGGAAUCUGCGUGAAGCACCCGGCGUACUCGGCCCUAUCGAGCUUCUGUGGCGUGUCGUCUGCAUCAUUCACGAACACAUCGAACCUCACGAGCUUCAAGCUAUCGCAGAUUAUGUCCUCCAGCACCAGCACUUCGUCGGCUUUGCCUUUGGUUGGUUUGGGCACCACAACCCUAUGAGGCUUAUUGAGAGUGAGAGGGAACACAUUGUCUCCGGUCUCCGCCGUCUUGGCGAGAUCUUCGGUAUUGACCGGUUCCGGCCGCUGAGGUGGCCGGCAGGUCAUCCAUGGUGUAUGGCUAUAUUCAUACUCGUAUCCCAUUUUUGUGUGGUCCAAGCAGUCGGCGACCUUAACGCGCACCAGCUUCCUCUUCUCGUUGUAGAACAUGAAGGAGGCGUUGUUGAAGUCGUCGGGGUUGGGGACGACGAGCUCGUUGAUAUCCUUCGGGAAAACGGAUGGGAUCGUUUUCCAUAUAGUCCACAUUCUGUCGACGUUAGCGUGAUGUGCGUAGAAGAGAGGGUCUCUUCCGGCGGAGUAGAAGUUCCCCAUGUCUUCGCGGAAAUUGUUGGCGGGGUUUCCGGUCCAGACAGCCGCCCUCCGACAAUCCUCCCUUGGAGCGUGGCGGGGGCAAGUCUCCGUCAACGUAAGGCUCGCCCAUGAAGUUGGUAGCGGAUUCGACAUCACCAACCAUUUCCUUGUACAGCUGAUUGAGGUUGUUGGAGAUGAUCUGUACGGGAUCGGUGAUCGGGGGGUUGGUUAGGGCAAGAGAAACGAUGGCCGGGGGCCGAUGCGUCGGGUCGCGGUUGACGUCGUAGAGUGGCGACGCGUCCCUGUCGAACAUCGAGGGCAUCUGCAUGCCCCUAGGGUUGUCCCAGUUCCAGUAGGGCAGGGCGAAAUCGAGAUCUCCGAUGAAUUCGCCCAUGAUUCUCUCGAAGAAAUAGAGGUACCACCUGUGUAGGGAUGAAUCCAGAAUUUGUCGUUAGGGGGGCUAAAUCUAAAAGUAUUUGCAGUGGGGGCUCCCGUCCGCAAGACAAUUUUUUUUAACCAUUCCGUAUAGAUUUAAUUGGCUUAACAUUAGAAAUCAGUCACUUACUAUAAAAAAUAGUUGUUCGCAUUCCAUUAAUUCAACAACAAGUACAUUUAAAGCAUAUACAAACCUACCUCUGUGCAAUUUUUUAAAAUAUUAUUUCGACUUCUAAAAGAAUAAACUAAUUUUCAUUGUUAAUUAAUAGUUCAAAAUUUUAGUUUAUCUUGAAGAUUAACUCAAAUUAAAUAUUCAAUAUUACCUAAUUAAACAAAAAUGAGACAAAAAUAACACAAAUUUUUAACAAACUAACCUAGCAAAUCACUGUAAAAUGUUAAGCAAUUCUUUCUUGUAUUUCUUCUAUAUAUUAAAAACAAAAAAAUUAGGGAGGGGGCUUCAGCCCCCGUGGAUCCGCCACUAACCUGUGGAAGGGGAAGAAGAUCCAUGAGUUGUGAACCUGGAUAUCGAUGCCGGGGUGGUCCACCUGGUCGUAGGGGCCGUUGCAGUAAGCGCAGUGGACGUUGGCCUGCUGAGUGAAGCCGCGGGGAUCGUUGGGGUCCGUCACGUCCAGAUCCUUCAUCAUCUGGAUGGCUUUCUCGUACUUGGCUAUGUAUUCCGGUGUCAGCCUGUGCGCCGCCGGCCUCCUGCGAAGCUUUGUGAACGUCGGAAGCGUGUACUCUUCCUCGUCGUCCGUGUAGGGCGGGCAGCAGUUGGCGUCUAGAGAUAUUAUCUCCCCGUUUCUAGAAGUAUAGGCACCUUUGGGAUCACACUUGCUCAGGUCAGGAGGUGAAAUCGGAACCGCCUCAGCUUUGCGGAUGAGGCCGCUUGCGCCGUAUAGACCACCCAGACCAAGCAGCAUGUUUCUGCGGUCUACACGGCCGCCGCCGCCUCCAUCACUGCUGCACGACACCUCAAAGCGGCGCCUCCGCCUGCUGGCGAGCUGGGAGGUGGUGCGGAGGUUGGGGUUGGUCGUGGUCGCCAUCACCAUGAAUGAAGAUUGAAGGGAAGCCAUGCUUGAUUGAUUGAUGCUUGCAUUGCGCUCGAGGCAUGCAUGUCUAUAUAUAGUAGGCGUGGACACGAGUUUUAAGAAAAAUAAUGAUACUUAAUGGGAUUAUUUUCGAAAAUGAAUUAGGAAGAUGUUUUGGAGACGAAAAUAGAAAAUUGACCUUUUGCCAGGCUGCCCUUUCACUAAAUGGUUGUAUGCACUUAUCUUUUUUUUAUCUAUAAAGAGGUAUUUUCUCCAUUUAAAAAACUUAUCGAGGUAAUUAUGAAGACUAUUCAUUUUUAUCGUUGUAAAGUUAAUUAAAUUAUAAAAAUUAAAGUUGAUAAAGUUCUUAUUAAACAUCAUCGCUCUUCUGUCUUUGGACGACAAAAUUAAUUAUUUCAAAUAGAUAAAGAACUUGAUUUUCCGAUAUGGCUUCUCAUACUAAUUAAAUAAUCUAAUCCUAUAAUGUAUUUCAUAUAAAGUUAUCAAAUUAACAAUAUUCUGUGUGAAUUUUUUUGCCUUGAGUGUGUGUAUAGAGGUAGUCAGGGCCGGCCCUGAGGGUGGGCGGGCAUGGGCGACGGCCCAGGGCCCCAAAAAUUUGAGGGCCCAAAAUUUUUAAUAUAUCCUAUUAAUUAUAGAUCUUAUGUAUACUAACAACAUAGUUCAUCUAUUGAUUUUGGGCCCAACAUAAUUUAUUCUCAAAUUUAGAUCUAUACUUAAUAUAGAGAGUUUUCAAUUUGAAAUCAAUUUCAAAGUAAUUUCAAAAUUGAGUGACUAUUUUGUAGUUAUAAUAUUAAUAAAAUUGAAGGUUUAUGUUUAAACUAUAUAUUUUUAUUUUUAUUUUUAUUUUCAUUUUCAUUUUCUUUAACUUCUUAUUUGUUGUUACAUUUCUUUCCAAAAUUGUGAAAUUCAAUUAAUUAUAAAAUAUUUAAUAUGCAUAUCAAAUUAAAGAUCACAAUAAGAGUUUUAAUAUGAUAUAUUUUAUGAAAAAUAUUUGAUUUAAAAUGUAAAAUUUAUGCAUGUUCAAAUAUUAAAGUUUUAUAAAUUUCUCUCACCUCUCUCAUCUUUACGAAUAAAUAUAUUUUUAAUUCUUUUAAAUUAGUAUUUUAUUUUUAAUUUUUUUAACUUAUUUUUUUGUUUUUGUAUUUCAUAAUAUCAAAUUUUAUAAUUGUGAAUUCUUUUUUUAUUUUUUUUAAUAUUCAAUUCAAAUAUAUAUAAUUAAAAUUAAUUUUUUAUUAUAUUUAUAAGUAUAAUAAUUAAAUUAGUAUUAAUUUUAUAUAAAUAGUAAAAACAAAAAAUAUUUCCCGUGCAUGAGAUGCAAAUGGUAGUUGCACCUCGCCGCCGGUAAUAUAUUUAAGUAUAUAAAUUAAUUAAUAUUAACAAGGCGCCCGGUGAUCACCGGAGGCAUCCUUGCCGCUGGUAUUUCUGCCGCUACUUUGAAAAAUACGGCCGUCGGUAAAUCUGGCCGCAAAUUGUGUACGUUUUUUGGUAGUGGUAAUAUAUUAGGGCCCAAUUUUUUAAUUUCGCCCAGGGCCUCAGUUUUGUCAGGACCGGCCCUGGAGGUAGUUAUAGAAUUUAUCUUUUGUGUUCUCAAAGGAACUUAAUUAAGAUCCAAUGUGAUUGAUACAUUUCGACUAAAUGGAUGGGCAAGAUUCUUUUAACGCCCAAUAUUAAUUCCAUCUCAAAUCGGAUCUUAUAUAAUACUGUAUUUUAUAUAUUCUAUAAUGCAUUUUAUAUAUUACGUGUCUAUUAAAUUAACAUUGAUCUUAGGAGUGAUACAAGUUUAAAAAAAAGCUAGCUGUAUAUUUGGUGAGUAGAGAAGGGAUUUCAGAAAUUAGAAAAAAUGGUGAUAGGUAGUGGAAUUAUUUUAAAAAAUGGACUAAAAAGAUGUUUCAUGAACGAACGAAAAUGGCAAAAUAGGAAGAUGAGUCGUGGUCGGAGGAAAUAUUAUAAUGCAUCGUAUCCUUUUUUGGUUCGUAUAAAGAUUUUUAUUUGAUCCUCAUCGAGAACAUGCAUAUUGCGAAUACUUAAUUUAUUUCAAUAUAUAUAUAUUAAUUUAUUGGGAGCAUAUGCUAAAUAAAUUAAAUUAAUCCGAAUCAAAAGCGCUUAAUUAUCACUACAUUACAUGCAUUAUGACAAAAAGCCUGCGGCUAAAGAUCUUCAGUUUAAGUCUAUUGUCAUAUUGUUUUUAAAAUAUUAUUUAUCCAUUCCGCAUAUGGAUUGGUCAGAUUUAGAUACACAAAUCUCAAAUGUAUUUAAUUAACAAAUUGAUUGAUAAAUUUUAGAAUUCAAAAAUUAAAUCAAUCAAAUACGCGUGUCCACAGUCAAUGGAUUGAAAAUAUGCAGGUAUCUAGAUAAGAUAUAUUAUUAUUAUUAUUACACUGUUAACUAUACUGCAGUACACUUUUAUAUAUACAGACAUAAUUAAAAUAUGCAGGUAUCUAGAUAAUAAGAUUAUUAUUACACUAUUAACUAUACUGCAGUACACUUUUAUAUAGAGAUAAUUACUAGAGAUAUGUGCUAUUACCCAUACUUCGCUCGAGACAGAAAUAAAUACGAUUGACCAUUCAAUUAAACACUACGACACCAUACUCGUGCAUGUACUAACGAUCUUAUUAUAAGUGCACCUUCCCGUGCGAUGCACAGGUCAGUAGAAUUGUAAUCGAUAUUGAUGUGAAUAUCAUCAUAUUCGAUUCGUAUUUGUGAAAAUACUCUAAUAUUUGAUUCAGCAUUCGAUUCGAUCACGAAUACUAAAUACGAUCCCAUAUUCGAUUCGAUGUUAUUUUUGAAUUAUUUGAUACAUUUUUUAAAAUUAAUUAAAUAAUUUUUUUACGAAUAUUCGAUUCGUUUUCCAUCAUAUUCAAUUCAAAACUAUUCGAUUUGAAAUUCUGAAGGAAAAAAUAUGUUAAAUAAUAUUCUAAAAAAUAUAGGAUUAUAUCCAAUAUAUUUACCUAAUAAUUAAACACACAAUAAUAAAGUGUUCAAUUCAUAUUGUUUUAUGUCCCGUGGUUUGUUUCUAGGAUUGUGGUAAUAAAGACUGAUUGGAUCAGUCUAGUACAGUUGUUGUUUGAAUUUGUAAUUUUGUGUAACGGCAUUGUCAUCUUGUUGAGAUUAAUAGGAGUUAAUUUGUUUAAUUAAUUAUUCAUGAGUUUCUUAUAAGAUACCUUCCUUCGUUCCGUAAAAAUAGUCAUAAUUUUUCAUUUUAGAACGUCCAUAAAAAAAUAGUGUUAUUCCAUUUAUAAACAAUUUAGAUCCUUACCUUUGGGAUGAGAUAAAAUGAAAUUCCAUUUUAAAUCAUAAACUAGCUAUAUAGGAAGCAUUUUCAGCUCUUGAAUUCAUCUGUUGUUCGAAUUUCAUAGGAAGCAAGUUUUUUUGACUCAUUAUUUUCACAGCGAAUUCAUCAUGUUACACAUACCCUAAAGUGAUAUAUUUACCCUAUUUGAUAACAUGAUAAGUAUAUUUGAAGCGCUCACUAUUUUAUUUGAACUUUAUUAUCGAGUUUAAACGAGUUUUGAAAUAUUGAAUUAAAUUGAAAUAUCCAUGUUGAUCGUUUAAGAAGCAAAUUUUUGGCAUGGGUUUAUAAAAAAUACAUCCUAGCCUCCAUCCCUAAUAAGUGCGGUGUGAAGGAGUGGGCAAUAGUUCUUUAAAAAUAAUUGAGAGAUGUGUAUAAAGUGGAUAAAAUGGCUUACUAGAGCUGAUUUGUUAGGCCUUACUUUCUCUCUGCCCCACUAAAAUAAGCUCAAUUCUUUUGAGAACAUAGAUUAAUAAACUUUCUUUUGAGAAGAAAAUUAAAGUGGUGGCAAAAGUAAUGUGGUCCAUACCAAUUAAGCAAUUUGAGUACAUUUUUUUUUUCACUCAAAAGGAAAACGAGCCUAUUCUAGCGGGACAUUCCAAAAUAGAAAACGAGCAUAUUCUGCUGGGACGAGGGAAUAAUAAAUUGUUUGUGAGAUGAGUAGUUUGUAAAUAUUGUGUGUGAAAGGUGUAUGUCUUAAAUUGAAAAGACCAUACCUGUAUUGUGAUUGUACGGAAAGGUGGAACUGAGCAUCGCGGCGGCGGCGAGGCAGGAGGCGGCGGUGGUGAGGAGAAUCGAGAGAGAGAGAGAAAGAUGCCAGCAGACAGUGACGGAGGGCAGUGGGCGGCCCUUGGCGGCAGCGGAGACGACAAGGUACUGGCUGUGCCAGAAUUAUUUAGUUGCAUAGGAUCCUUCCAAAUGUAAUUACUGAUUCACUGUUGGAUUAACAAGAAUUAAAUUACUUCAUAAUACAGUAUUCCAACUGUUCGAUAAAAGCCCUUAAUGAAAUCUUCCAUAGAUUACUUUGCAAAGUUCAUAAAAUUACUCAAAAGCAUUGUUGCAUAGUCCGUACAUAGAGAUGGUCGAUUAUCUUAAUUAUGUCUAGAUUUAUUUACGACACACACACACACACAUCACAAAAUCACACAUACUGACUAAUAAGGUUCCCGAAAGCCGGCAUUAUUAGGCGCCAUGGUGGCCGUGAAAUACCAUGAGACGAUAUCAUGGGUGGUGGGUCCGUCUAGUCUGGUGGCGGCGGAGAGCCCUACCUGAACCUGCUAAGGAAGAAAGCCGCUCAAAUCAUACUCAUAGCUGACUUCAAACGUCUUCGAGCCGGCGGUGGCACGGACGGCGAUCUACUUUGUGGAGGCGGCGUAGUUGAUCCUCGCCGUCACCUGCUGCUCGAGUAUGGAGCCGUCGACCUCCGUCGUGUUUCGGGAUGACCUAGACCCGAUGUCGAUGCCGAUGUGGGGAUAGUUCGGAUCCCACGCGCUGUUGACGUAGGUGUCGAACUCGACGGCAAAUACCGAGGGGUUGCUGCCGGAGGAGCCGAAGAUUCCGAGGUUGGCCCCGCUGGAGCCGGUGGGGAUGGUGGAGCGGCGAGAUUGGUGAUGCUGGGUGUGGUGAUGAAGUUUACGGUGGUUUCAAAGUCGACUUGGCCACCGGCUUGGGAGAAUUGGACCGGGUUCGUGUACAAGACCCGGCCGACACUACCGAUCUGCGGUCGCCUUGGUAGGUGAGGUCGGUCGGCUGGUUGUCCCAGAAGUUAUAGGCGAAGGCCGUUGAUCGGGACUUCGCCCUGUUGGUGGCGACGGCGAGAAGAAGGGCGAUGGAGAUUAGGGUUUGGAGAAGGUUGGCCAUGGCUUAGUUGUGCAGUGAAUGAUGUCUACUACUUGCUCCUAUUUAUAAUGAUCGAAAAUAUCUACUACUUACCUACCACAGAUCCACAUCAGGGGCCCUGGAUGGGGUGGUCGACUACAUAAGCCCAAAAAAAUAAGGGCUCGGAAAAUAUAUAGAUCCAUGUAAGUAUUAUAUAUAUGUAUAAAAUAAUUAAAAGCCAACUAAUGAUUGAAUUGAUUAACUUGGCGCAGUGGAAAAAGGACAUUUUUAAUUCCUCUUAAUUACCAAUAUUUUAUUUAGUGACCAAUUUUUUUGUUUAGAUAUAGGGCCCAGCCCCUAUUUUGAUAAAUUAAGUGUAUGUAUUUCAAAUUAACAUUAUUUUAAGUUGUCGAAUUUUUUUGUUAAGAUUUAGGGUCCAGCCCCUAUUUUGUUAAAUUAACUUUAUUUUAAGUGAAUGACAUAAUUAUUAAUAUAUUUAUUAAUUAUUAUGUAAUUUGAUAAAAAAAUGUUUUAAAUAAUUUUAGUUUAUAAUUAAUUUAUUUCUCAAUUAUAAAUAAAUGGCCUAAAUUAAAAAAUUCGCAAAGGGCCUAUGUUCUCUUAGCCCUACCCUUGCACUGUUGCACAUGGUAUAUAUAUCUAUUCUAUGAAUAUAAGUGAUUAUUUUAUAAACCACGUGAAAGCACUUGUUCCCACUAGCACUAUAAAAGCAAUAAAUACAACGGAAAGAAAAUAAAUUACAAUUGAAUACAUUAGGAGAAAAAUUACUUCUAACCUAUGGAAUUACUAACAACGAUACUUAUACCAAAGCUAAAUUGGACCAACUAACUGUACACUCUUGUAUUAUAUCAACCUACCAGACCUUAGUAUUCACGAGUCUCCCACAGUCUAGACUGAUUCACAAUAUAUACCAACAUUGGAACAAGUUCAGUAAUACACUCUAUUUAUAUAUAUUAUUAUAUACACAAAAAUGCAUGGCUGCUGUGGUAUUACGGAAGGAUCGAGAAUUACUCGAUCCUUGGGAAAAGGUUCAAAUGAAACCUUUAUUAUUACUCUCCGUCCCCCAAAUAAUAUCAUAUCCGAUUUGGGAUAUUACCCCACCACUAAUAAUACUUUAUUUAUUCUAACUUCUCAAUCUUUCACCAUUCUCAAUACUAAUUAUAACACAUUUUCAUCACUUUCAAUACUAAUUAUAAUUUCUUUUCUCCACUGCUAAUACGUACACUUAACAAUUUUUCCUUAAAACCAGUGUCGUCCCCUACUAAGAAGUUAUUUGGGGGACGUAGGGAGUAUUUUUUAAUGAUAUGGCAUCCAAAUAUGUUGUGACAAUCCAGUGAGCAAUAUCAACUUUUUGGAGCUGAAAACCGAUGUGAGGUACAACUAAUACACAAUAUGUUGUGGCAAUCCAGUAAUAUACCCUAAGGAUGCGUCAUCUUUUGUUGUAAAUUUAUCAUGGAAAAAUGAGGGAUAAACAAAAUUUCACCCAUUAAAUCCUUCAUUUUUUCCCUCAUUUCUUACAAAAUAGAAUUUGACCCUUACUCAUUUCUCAUUUUCACUGCAAAGGGGGGCUAAUAUUAUCUCUCUAUUUUUGGUAUAAUGAAGAAUUUGAUACGUAAUUACAAUUAAUUAUAAUGAAGUGUGUAUUUUAGUUGCUCAUAUUCUUGGAUUAUUUAUGCUUUAAUGAAACGAUCCACUGCCUUUAACAUUUUGGCAUUUUAAAGUAAACGCCGAAAUGCAACGAUCCACUGCCUUUUAAGUAAACACCCUUGCUAACCCCUGCAUGCGUUUUUUCAUCAAACACUUGGGUUCAUUCUUUUAGGCAUUUUAUCAAACAGUUGUGCUCAGCCUCAUCCUUUUGAUCACAUUCCCAUAUCUCUCCUUAUAUGAAACCGCAUUUUCUAUUUCUCAUAUAUUUCCUAUAUAAUAUUUCCAUCAUUUCUAGCUCAACAAUAAUUCUUCUAGCAAAAUUAUCAUUUCAAAUGCACUCUUUUCCUUUUCUACUUUCUCUUCUGCAUAACAGAAAUACUAAUCCACCAUAAAAUAAUCAUAACUUUUUCUUAAUGAUACGAUGAGGGCACAAAGUUGAGAUGAUAAAAUCAUACAUAUUGGCGAAUGUUGCCGCCGGCUUCCUCUGACUUUUGGAUGCUGAGGGGAGGGGUGGCGGUGAAAUACCAGGAGUUGAUGAUGAAUUUGAUGGUUGUUUCCAUGUCCACCUGCCGCAGAGACCGAGAUACGAUUUUAGAAACAAACGGCAAAAUUACAAUUUCACAUAUAAAAAAUAAAAGACAAUUAAUAAAGCGCAUAAUAUUGGUAAGAUGCUUCCAACCAAUAGGUCGGGAUUGUAUAUCGUGUGAGUGUGUUUUUCAUUUUUUAGUAAUAACAUGUCGUGCUCGGGGCUUUUUUCCGUAUCUGCCCCUGCUUCCCGUCGUCGUGCCCGACUCGUCGGUUUUUGUCAUGCGGAGGUAGGUGGUGGCGUCGGUGAAGUUGGCGUCGCCUUCCAAGCGUAGGCCUUCCGAAUGUGGCGGCUUUUGGUAGAAGUCGUAGGUGAAGGAGACUGCAUCGCCGACCGACACGGUGGCGAGGAGGAGGGCGAUGGAGGAGAGGAGAGGAAUUAAGGUUUGGAGAAGGUUGGCCAAUUUGAUUAAAUGUAUUUGGAUGUAGUGGAUGAUGGUGUAUCGAUCUCUUGCUCCUAUUUAUAGUUGUAAAUAUAUAUUAAUAAUGGUAUCAUUCAAUCAUUAUACUUUAGGCCGGCCGGGCCGGAUCCUCUAUUCCAAAUUCUAUGUCUCAUUGUUCAUAUUCACUAUUAAUUUCACUAUUUCAAUAAUUAAAAAAAUUCAUAGAGUUUGGGGCAGAGGAUCCCGUUUGAAUCCCACAUGGAUCCUCUGUCCCAUAACUUAUUGUGUUCCUUCCCAUUAUUAAUCUCGAUAUUAUAUUUCUACUUUGGAGUUAAUUCAUUAUAAACCCAUGAAAGAUCAGACGAAAUUCAUCCAAUAAACAUUUAUAAAUUUAUAUUUAAAUUUUGUUUCGCGGGUAUCUGAUAGAUAAUAGGUAUUCGUGGGUGGCGAAUUUGGGUAGCAUUUGAUAUUCAUAGAUAGUUUCAUGAUUAAAAUCCAAUAUUCAUUUAGUUCACGGGUAUGGUAUGACAGCCACUAUCUGUGUACGUCAUACCUGAUUGCCAGUAUGACAAAUAUAAAAGUUGUGAGAUGCACAGCAGCUUAAUUAUUCAAAUAGAAAUAUCAUCACAUGUGCAUUGAUAUUUCACAAAAUAAAUACUACUACUAAUAAAUACUCCCUCCGUCCACCAAAGAUAUGCCACUUUACUUUCGGUACGAGUUUUAAUAAAAUGUGAGUGAAGUUGGUAGUGGAGUAAGGGUCCCACUUUAAAUGUGAGUGGAAUGGUAUGGACCUUACUACUAAAAAUGGAUGUGGCAUAUUUUUCGUGGACGAACGAGAAAGAAAAUUGUGGCAUAUCUUUGGUGGACGGAGGGAGUAGUACUCAUUGAUAAUGCAUGCCAACACAUGGUUCUUGCAAGUCAUAUAUAUACCUCAUCAGCAAUAUAGUAAAAUGAUGAUUUGACAACCAGAUUAAGACACCAAUUAUUCUUGUCGGGACACAGACAUAUAUGCAUAUAGAAUUAAUAUUAUUUACUAUUUCGUUUAUACACGUGAAUUAUGCUUUGGAUGCAACAUCGCCACGUCUCUUUCAUUUAUACUUCUCUAGUGUAUUGCGGACAAAAUAGUUAGUGUCUUUAAGAAAUUAAAAAUUUUCAAAUACAUAAGAAAGAAUAAUUAAUCUAAUUGGUGCGCCGGCAACUAAAACUUUUUUCAAUUCACUUUAUAUUUUAUAUACUCCCUCCGUCCACGAUUUAAUGCCCCAUUUUAGUGUGGGCACGGAGACUAAGAAAACUGAAAAAGGUGAUGUGAAUGAAAUAUAAGGGUAGUUGACUAAAGUGAUAAAGAUGCUGUGAGUGGGUUCACUAGUGAUAAAGUAUAGGAAAUAUAGAAUAUAAAAAUGAUAAAGGUGUUUUAAGUUGGGUCCAUUAGUGGCAAAGAGUAAUAAAUAUAGAAAAAGAAGAGUAAAAAAGUACAAAAAGCAUAAUAGGGCUUUAAUUUGUGGACAAAAAAUUAAGAGCAAGUAGGGCUUUAAAUUGUGGACGGAGGGAGUAUUUAACAUUACAAGUCAAUUGCUUGCAGAAUUUGAGCUUGUCUCCCGUGAUGGAGACCUCACCAUGCGGCAACCCGUGCCUGCGCCUGCCUUUUUUCUUCCCGUCUUGCUCUAUCCAGAUAUUAUACGUGAUCCAACUCUUUCCAGAUAUUAUACGUAAAUGAUAAUUUUACUAACAAAAAUUACACUUUUUAUCAAUAACAAAUGAAACUAUGCAUACAAAACAGGAGGUAAAUGAUAUUUUUCUUAAUAACAACUGAUACUUUUUCAAUGCAAAUAAUACUUCGCAAAUGAUAUUUUAAUAUAAAAGUAAAUGAUACUUUGUAUAAAAAUAAAUGUUAUAUUACAAAUGACACUUUUAAUGCAUACCAAUGACACUUUUAAUAACAAAAAUUGAGAAAAAAAAAUUAGAAUUCGGCCUUAAUUAAAAUUUGGACAACAUUUAUUUGGGCAAAGAAGAAAAACACCUGAAUUUUUUUUUUUCCUUUUUUGAGAGAGAAAAACUCAUGAAAUUUCAUGCAAAAGGUAAUGCAUAGCCAACCGGGCUCAAUCAUCUUUCGGCGGUUUUGGUUUGAUUCUUCCAACAUCUAGGGUAGCAUUCACACAAAAUCAACUCGUGUUCAAAAAUCUGAAAUUAAAAUUAACGAUGUGUCUCAGUAUAGAGAUAAGAACAUACCCCUCAAAUGGUUCGAGCCAAGGUCUAAUUCCUUCAGCAGUGUGAUAUUCCAAAUUUGAGUAGGCAUAUAUCCGCCAAAGUUGUUGUCUGACAAGCGAAUACUCUCAAGUUGUGGACAUUGGUACAAACUCGAUGGUAUAUCUCCUUCCAAAUUGUUAAAGGAUAGGUUCACUAGUUUAAGUCUUUGAAGGUUAUUGUACGUGCNUAGACAACAAGAAAUAUCUAUUGUCUAUUCUAUGACAAAAAAAUUAAAAAAUUCUAAUAUAUCUGCAUCCCUGUAUUACAAUACCAAUAUAUAUGAAAAAAUAAAAAUAAUUAAAAAUCAAAUAAUCAAACAAUACUUAUAAACCACUAAUACUCACAAUCAAAUAUUUACACAUCAGUGUAAAUAUUGGGUUCGAGUCCUCUGCGUGUGUUGAUCAAGCGGUAAGGGGUUAAUGCCUAAGGUCAAAGGUCUGGGAUUCGAGUCCCCUGUGGUGUAGCCUUUUAAUUUCGUUAUUUAAUAUUGUAAAUUUAUAAAAAAAAAAAAGUAUAUUUACACAUCAACAAUUGUAUUAUCUUUAAUACGCCUUCAUUCAUCUAAUAAAAAAAAUCUCUAAUAAAAUCUCCAACUAACUCCGGUCAUGAUCAUCUCUUGAAGGCGGAGGAAGGUGGAGUCCGUCGGGAAAUGGGUACUGCCUUGAUAGAUGAGAUCUUUCGGCUGGUCGCCCCAGAAGUCGUAGGUGAAGGACGUCGUUUGGGACAACGCCGUGUUGGAAACGGAGAGGAGGAGGACGAUGGAGGAGAGGAGAGGAGUUAAGGUUUGAAGAAGCUGGUUGGCCAUGGCUUAAUUGAUUUAGAUUUAGAGAUGUGGUGGAUGAUGGUGGUAUCGAUCUCUUGCACCUAUUUAUACUAGUAUGGUUCAUGCCUGUUAAUAAUUGUAUAUAUCAAUCAUCGUGCAUCUAUCCCAAAUUAUAUGUCUUAUUAUUCACUAAUUAGAUGGAUUAAAUCCUGAUUAGUAACCAUAAAAUUAAACUGUCAAUGAGGCCUUGCUCUAGUGGCAAAGCUGUGACACCGAAUAACUUUUCUUUGUGAAAUGUCUUGGGUUCAAUCUCGCCUGCAUGCGGUGAUGUGUGUCCAUUUUAGGUGGUGUGGUAUUCUUGUCUGCGUGCGGUGUUGUAUUGUUUAGUGUUGAGGUCCCACAUGCAGAGCGUUCUUGCCUGUGUACGUGUCACAGCCCAAAACCAUUUAUUUUCUUUACAAAUUUUAUAUAUGAAAAUUAUUUAAUUUUUAAGUUAUAGAGUUUUUGAAAUAUAUAUAGUAUCAAUUUUAUGUUAACUUAGUCGUGUCCCUAAUUAAAAGAAUGACUUUAAAAUAAAACUUAAGCCUUAAAAAUUUAAUCUACAUUCAUAUAUAACUGAAAUUACAUGCAUGUCUAAAUAUUAUUUAUAAUUAUCAAUAACAAGAUUAAUGAUUCUAUAUCUCUAUGUUUAUACAUGUAUUCACGUAUGACAUAGUAUAUAUUAGCUAUUAAGUUAAAAACUAAUAAAAUACUACACUUUUGCAUAGGAUAUAUAUUUAAUUAGUAGUAGGAUAGGACACGUGUAUUAAUUUUAAGGGCAAGUAAUCAAACUUUUGAAUGAUUCAUCAUGCUUAAAAAAAAAAGAGACCUAGAUAGAUGAUUCAUCAGAUUCAAAAACAAGUAUAAAUAGACUUCGGGUUUGAAAUUUUAAUUAAUUUGCAACAACAAUUCAAACUGACUGUAUUAAGGUAAGUAGUUACAGAUUUCAUACACAUAUUAUAUGAUUUCGCACACAUAUUAAGGUAAGUAUAUAUAAAUAUUUUUUAAAAUCAUAUAUUAUAUAAUAAUUAUAUUUAAGUUUUAUAUUAUUCUUUAUAAACUAUUGUUUCAUUCUAUAUAAUUAGGUGUGGCACGACUAGGACGUAACUUUCUAUUGAAUUUCUCAAGUUAAUCUUAGAGUUCAAGUUUCAGGUGUGAGAUUUAUUUAAAUACAUGUCGUACGUGGUUAUUUAUUGUCCAUUUUAAUAAGAUGUGUUUACCAUAUGUGUUAUGACGCAUAUUUUUAGGAUAUCACUAGGUGCCCAUAAAUAGGAUCCAGGACUUCACCGUCCUUGGAUUGCCACAAUGCGAUUUGAGGUUUAUUUUGAGGAUGUCGUUAGGGGCCCGUACAUAGGGUCCAGGACUUUAAUAGUCAUUGGGUUGCCAUAGUGCAAAUAUUGAGGAUAUAUAUGAAGUGACCGUAUGUGUUACCGUUUCAUUAACGUGGACAAUGAUUGCAUGUUUAAGAGACAAUAACCAAUUUUUCAGACAUUUGUGAACAAAAUGAAGCAUGUUUAGAGAUCCUUAAUACAGGUGUACGAAAUGAUGGAUAAAUAAGUUUGUGAAACAAAUUUCACCAUACCUAACCCCACAAUUAUUUGCGGUCGAAUUUCCUCGUCACAGGAAAAAGAGAUGAUGACAAAAGGGAAAAAAUUAAUUAACAAAGUAGAAGAUGCAUGACAACUGUAAAAGAAAAAUAAUGCUACUAAUUAAAUAGUCCAAACUUCAUACGUUUCAUAUCAUAAGUGGCAGUUCUAUUUUUUUUUUUGCGAAUGUGAACAAAAUAACGAAUAAUUUUUAAAGUAAUAGUAAUAAGGAGAUGUGUUUUGACAGAAAACGACAUGAGCGGCCUAAAAAUAAGAGGGAAAAAGAUAAUCAUAUAAAUAUUCAAAAUCAAACGGAUUGGCAUGUAUUCAUCAUUUUUUAUUUUUUAUUUUGAUAAUUUAACAGUACUCCCUCCGUCCGUCAAAAGUAGACCACUUUGGUUGGGCACGGGAUUUAAUAAAAUUAGUGAUGAUUUUGAUGUAGUAGAGAAAGAGUUCCACCACUUUAUGAGAUGUGUGGUUGAGAUUGAAUUUGUUGUGAUUUUUUUGUAAAUAAAGAGUGUUUGUAAGGAUAAAAGAUUAAAGUGGGUGGUGGGACCAUUUCCAUAAAAGGAAAGUGGUCUACUAUUUGCGGACGCCCAAUAUAGUAAAAGUAGUCUACUUUUGGCGGACGGGGAGAGUAUUAAAUAAAUAAAUUUAAAGGUUGCACCCCUUACUGCUUGGCUUUUAGAUUAUGUUAUAAUAAUAAAAUUAACAGCACGUUUACAAUAUAAAAUUAAUUAUGAUAAAUACAAUAUAUUAAUAAUAAAUACUCAAUUACCUCUUAACAUAAUUCGCGCAUCAUGGCUUUUAGCUUAUAUUAUAAAGAUAUAAUAUGUUGUCUAUAAUAAUCGACGGAAGGUAAUAGACAACAUGUUUUAUAUGUUGUCUAUAAUAAUAUAGACAGUAGAUCUAGUGUUAUAGAUAACAAUUAAUACUUGUUGUCUAUAUGAUGAUAGACACCAAAAAUCUCUGUUGUCUAUUCUAUGACAAAAAAAUUUAAAAAAAUUCUAAUAUAUUUACAUCCCUGUAUUACAAUACCAAUAUAUAUGAAAAAAUAAAAAUAAUUAAAAAUCAAAUAAUCAAACAAUACUUAUAAACCACUAAUACUCACAAUCAAAUAUUUACACAUCAACAACUGUAUUAUCUUUAAUUACGCCUUCAUUUAUCUAUUAAAAAAAAUCUCUAAUAAAAUCUCUAACUAACUCCGGUCAUCAUCUCUUGAAGGCUUAGAAAAUGUCCAAAUACAGCGGCACAUGCUCAUUAUUGUGUGAGCGAUGAGAACUUUGCGCUGAACCUAUAAAGUAACUAUACUUAACUGGUAAAGUAAUUGUAUCCCGUGAAUCUAAAGGAAGACUACACACGUUGAUAGAGUUUGAAAGAAAAGAAUAAAGAGAAUGAAAAUCCAAAGAAUUUGCUUCUUCCGUUGAACAAUCCCUACACAACAUUGAAAUAUCAAUGAAAAUAAUGGCUAUCGUAUACUCCCUCCAUCCAUGAAAGAACUUCAUAGGAGGGAGUGACACGGGUUUUAAGAAAAAAUAUUGUUAAGUGUAUUGAGAGUGGAUAAAAGGUAGUUGAGUGUAUUGGGAGUGGUGAAAAUGUGUUAUAGUUAAUAUUGAGAGUUGUGAAAAGUGAAAAGUAAGAGGAUUAUAAGUGGUGGGGUAUAGUCCAAAAAUAGGUAGGAAGUUCUUUUGUGGACGUCCCAAAAAGGAAAGAUAUGAAGUUCUUUCGUGGACGGAGGGAGUAUUAUUUUGCAGCAGCAACCACGUUUGAAAACUCGAUCCCUCUGUUCUUGAAUUUGUGAAAUUUCCGACUGAUUUAUUAGAUUCACCAUUUAUUUCAGUUUAAUUAGUCUAUAUAUAGAUAUUUCUUAUAUUAUUAAAUUGUUAACCUCAUGGUAGAUUUCAAGAUUUGAAAAUUCAACAAAGAGCUUGAGAAUUAUUGAGAUUGGAAGGGGAAGAUGAAACAUAAUUGGGUGAAAUUAGAAACCAAUUAAAGUCACAAGAUUGAACAAAAACAUAACUUAAAAACACAAAAUAAGCAAAUCGUAGAUGCAGUAUCUUGCAAGAAAAAGUUCAUAUUCCCAAGGCUAUGAUGAGCACGAAUUAGGGUGUGUCUGCAUUUUAUCCCUCUAAAUAGAGGAAUAACAAAAUUUUAUUCUUUAAAUGUUUGCUUUCUUAUCACACAUUCUACACAAACACCAUUUUUUCUUCCUUAUUUUCACUUCAAGGAGGANUAAUAUUAUCCCUCCAAUUUUGGUGUGAUAAUAUUAUCUCUUCUUGAAGUGAAAAUAAGGAAGAAAAAAUGGUAUUUGUGUAGGAUGUGGGAUAAGAAAGCAAACAUUUAAAGGUAUAAAUUUUUGUUAUUCCUCAUUUAGAGGAAUAAAAAGCAAACACACAUUAGAGUCUACUUACAAUUUAGGCGCAGGCUGUGCGAGAAUUACUUAGUCGAAUAGGAUCCUAAGUAUUUAUAUUUCUCAUGUUCUUGUGUAUUUUUUUACUGAUUCACUAUUGGAUUAACAAGAAUUAUCUUACUUUAAAUUUCUUGCUUUAAAAAAAAAAAAGAAUUAUCUUACUUCAUGUAUGGUAUGCCAACUGUUCGAUAAAGGUCCUUUUAGAAAUCUUCUAUUGAUUACCUUGCGAAGACCACAAAACUAGACACACCCAAAAGCAUUCUUGCAUAGUUUAUACAUAGAGAUGGCCGAUUGAUGAUCGUCUUAUUUGUAGACUUAACGCGAGCAGACUCGAUCGCUUAGUCCUUAUUGAUUUACGACACACAUGCUCACACACACACAUACACACAUCACAAAAUCACACAAAUUGACGGAUAAUGUUGCCGUUCAGCUCCUUCCUGAACCUCACCGCGGCAUUUUUCUGCACCAUAGUGGCCGUGAAAUACCACGAGACGAUGUCAUGGACGGCGACGUGUUGUCCGGUGGCGGCGGAUAGCCCGACCUGAACCUGCUGAGGAACAAAGUCGCUCAAAUCGUACUCAUAGUUGACAUCAAAUGUCUGCGAGCCGGCGGUGACUUUCACGGAGAUCAUCCUUGUGGCUCCGACGUAGUUGAUCCGCGCAGUCACCUGCUGCCCGAGUAUGGAGUUGUCGACCUUCGUCGUGUUGCUGGAUGCCCUAGAGCCGAAGUCGAUGCCGAUGUGGGGAUAGAGCGGAUCCCACGCGCCGUUGACGUAGGUGUCGAUUUCGACGGCGAAGACCGAGGGGCUGUUGCCGUUGGAGCCAAAGAUUCCGAGGUUGGCUCCGUUGGAGCCAGGGGGGAUGGUGGAACCGACGGGGGCAAUGAAGAAGGCGAGGCCGUCGGCAGGCUCGUUGUCGGCGCCCGGGGUGAUGAUGAAGUUCACAGUGGUUUCGAAGUCGACCUGCCCACCGGACUGCGAGAAUUGGACCGGGUUCGAGUGCAAGACGCGGCCGACUUGUGAGGGCUGUGCGUCUGUGAGGCGGAGGAAGGUGGAGUCCGUCGGGAAAUGGGCGCUGCCUUGAUAGAUGAGAUCUUUCGGCUGGUCGCCCCAGAAGUCGUAGGUGAAGGACGUCGUUUGGGACAACGCCGUGUUGGAAACGGCGAGGAGGAGGGCGAUGGAGGCGAGGAGAGGAGUUAAGGUUUGAACAAGCUGGUUGGCCAUGGCUUAAUUGAUUUAGAUUUAGAUUUAGAGAUGUGGUGGAUGAUGGUGGCCAGGUAUCGAUCUCUUGCACCUAUUUAUACUAGUAUGGUUCAUGCCUGUUAAUAAUUGUAUAUAUCAAUCAAUCAUCGUGCAUCUAUCCCAAAUUAUAUGUCUUAUUAUUCACUAAUUAGAUGGAAUAAAUCCUAAUUAGCAAUCUUAAAAUUACACCGCCAAUGAGGCCUUGCUCUAGUGGUAAAGCUGUGGCACCGAAUAACUUUUCUUUGUGAAAGGUCUUGGGUUCAAUCUCGCCUGCAUGCGGUGAUGUUUGUCCAUUUUAGAUGGUGUGGUAUUCUUGCCUGCGUGCGGUGUUGUAUUAUUUAGUCUUAGGCGUUCUUGCCUGUGUGCAUAUCACUGUGUGACAAUUAAAAGAAUGACUUUAAAAUAAAAGUUAAGCCUUAAAAAUUUAAUCUACAUUCAUAUAUAACUGAAAUUACAUGCAUGUCUAAUUUUUUUAAUAUCAUAACAAGAUAAGAUUUAUUAAAUAAUUCAGAUGCAUAAAUAAAAAGUUAAUCUAUAAACACAGUAUAGAUAUAUUAUCAAUGAUAGGCCGUGUAUAAGUCUUAAUCUGUAAAACUAUAUCAUCCCAGCCUUAAACGACUACCAUUCCUGCUUUCCCAGAGCAACCACACUGUUCCCACCCACAAAGCUUUAAGCAGUACAUGCAUGUCUAAAUAUUAUUUAUAAUUAUCAAUAACAAGAUUAAUGAUUCUAUAUCUCUAUGUUUAUACAUAUAUUCACGUAUGACAUAGUAUAUAUUAGCUAUUAAGUUAAAAACUAAUAAAAUACUACAGUUUUGCAUAGGAUAUAUAUUUAAUUAGUAGUAGGAUAGGACACGUGUAUUAAUUUUAAGGGCAAGUAAUCAAACUUUUGAAUGAUUCAUCAUGCUUAAAAAAAAAAAGAGACCUAGAUAGAUGAUUCAUCAGAUUCAAAAACAAGUAUAAAUAGACUUCGAGUUUGAAAUUUUAAUUAAUUUGCAACAACAAUUCAAACUGACUGUAUUAAGGUAAGUAGUUACAGAUUUCAUACACAUUAUAUGAUUUCGCGCACAUACGUAUGUAUAUAUAAAUAUUUUUUAAAAUCAUAUACUCCCUCCGUCCCCAAAAUAAGUUCCUCUUUGGGGACGGCACGGAUUUUAAGGAAAAGUGGUAAAGUGUAUUAAUAGUGGAGAAAAAUAUGUUAUAAUUAGUAUUGGAAGUUGUGAAAAGGUGAAAAAGUGUUAUAAUUAGUAUUGGGAGUGGUGAAAAAGUGAAAAGUAAGAAUAAAUAAAGUAUUAUUAGUGGUGGGGUAGUUGUCCAAAAAUGGAAAAAAAGAAAGAGGAACUUAUUUGGGGGACAUCCCAAAAUGGAAAAAGAGGAACUUAUUUCAGGGACGGAGGGAGUAUUAUAUAAUAAUUAUAUUUAAGUUUUAUAUUAUUCUUUAUAAACUAUUGUUCCAUUCUAUAUAAUUAGGUGUGGCACGACUAGGACGUAACUUUCGAUUGAAUUUCUCAAGUUAAUUUUCAAGUUCAAGUUUCAGGUGUGAGAUUUAUUUAAAUACAUGUCAUGAUUAUUCAUUGUCCAUUUUAAUAGUAUGUGUUUACCAUAUGUGUUAUGACGCAUAUUUUGAGGACAUCGCUAGGAGCCCAUAAAUAGGGUCCAGGACUUCACCGUCCUUGGAUUGCCACAAUGCGAUUUGAGGUUUAUUUUGAGGAUGUCGUCAGGGGCCCGUAAAUAGGGUCCAGGACUUUAAUAGUCAUUGGGUUGCCACAGUGCGAAUAUUGAAGAUAUAUAUGAAGUGACCGUAUGUGUUACCGUUUCAUUAACGUGGACAAUGAUUGCAUGUUUAAGAGACAAUAACCAAUUUUUCAGACAUUUGUGAACAAAAUGAAGCAUGUUUAGAGAUCCUUAAUAAAGGUGUACGAAAUGAUGGAUAAAUAAGUUUGUGAAACAAAUUUCACCAUACCUAACCCCACAAUUAUUUGCGGUCGAAUUUCCUCGUCACAGGAAAAAGAGAUGAUGACAAAAGGGCAAAAAUUAAUUAACAAAGUAGAAGAUGCAUGACAACUGUAAAAGAAAAAUAAUGCUACUAAUUAAAUAGUCCAAACUUCAUACGUUUCAUAUCAUAAGUGGCAGUUCUAUUUUUUUUUUGCGAAAGUGAACAAAAUAACGAAUAAUUUUUAAAGUAAUAGUAAUAAGGAGAUGUGUUUUGACAGAAAACGACAUGAGCGGCCUAAAAAUAAGAGGGAAAAAGAUAAUCAUAUAAAUAUGGGUUAAUUGCCUCUAAAUACACCACCUUUCCUUGAAUUCUACAAUUGCACAUCACCUUUAAAAUCCGCCCUUAAAUACACCACCUUUCCUUGAGUUCUACAAUUGCACAUCACCUUUAAAUCCGCCCCAAAAUACAUCAUCUUUAUAUUUUUUCUGUUUUUGCACAUGACUAAAAAAUUCUCAAGAAAUAAAUUAAAGUGUUAAUUUAUAAAUUUAAAUAUCUUUUUAGCAGCGAAAACAUAAUAAAAUAAAAUUCUUUAUAAAGUUUAAAAUCAUAUAUAUAUAUAUAUAUAUAUAAGUAUUUUCGUAAAGAAAUAAAUUCUCUAAUAAAUUUUUAGAAAGAACUUGAAUUAAAAAAAUAAACAAGUCAUGACAUUAAGAAAAUAAAAUGAAAUUUUUAUUUUAAUAAAUUUCACACGAAUUCGAUAUAAUUUGGAAUUUAGAGUUACAAUAAUCAGAAGUACCACAUGAAUAAUAUAAUGAGUUUGAAAGAAAUUUUUUUUAAAGAGGUUCGACACGCCCAUUCGACUUUCCACGCGCCUCCAAUGUCAUUUACCUGAAAUAUUAANUAUAUAAGUAUUUUUCGUAAAGAAAUAAAUUCUCUAAUAAAUUUUUAGAAAGAACUUGAUUAAAAAAUAAACAAGACAUGACAUUAAGAAAAUAAAAUGAAACUUUUAUUUUAAUAAAUUUCACACGAAUUCGAUAUAAUUUGGAAUUUAGAGUUACAAUAAUAAAAAGAACCACAUAAAUAAUAUAAUCAGUUUGAAAGAAAUAUAUAUAUAUUUUUUUAAAGAGGUUCGACGCGCCCAUUCGACUCUCCACGCGCUACCAAUGUCAUUACCUGAAAUACUAAAUAUGGGAUAAGCAUACAUAAUAUACUUAGUGUGGGAACAUGCAAUUAUUGUCCACGUUAAUAAAAUAGUAACACAUACGAUCAUAACAUUCAAAACGACACAAUUUUGCCAAUAUGGAAGCCACGUCAUUUAAAGUGGUAACACCCUAAUCUAACUAAAGUGUUAAAUAUAAAUUUAAAGCGGAAAUAUAAUAAAAUAAAGUUCUUUAUAAAAAUAAAUAAAGAAUUUUAUUUUAUUAUAUUUCCGCUGCUAAAAAAGAUAUUUAAAAUUUAUAAAUUAACACUUUAAUUUAUUUCUUGAGGAUUUUUAAGUCAUGUGCAAAAACAGAAAAAAAAUAUAAAGGUGAUGUAUUUUGGGGCGGAUUUAGAAUUCAAGGAAAUGUGGUGUAUUUAGGGGCGGAUUUUAAAGGUGAUGUGCAAUUGUAGAAUUCAAGGAAAGGUGGUGUAUUUAGGGGAAAUUAACCCUAUAAAUAUUCAAAAUCAAACGGAUUGGCAUGUAUUCAUCAUUUUUUAUUUUUUAUUUUGAUAAUUUAACAGUAUUAAAUAAAGAAAUUUAUAGGCUGCGUCCCUUACUGCUUGGCUUUUAGAUUAUGUUGUAAUAAUAAAAUUAAAAGCACGUUUACAAUAUAAAAUUAAUUAUGAUAAAUACAAUAUAUUAAUAAUAAAUACUCAAUUACCUCUUAACAUAAUUCGCGCAUCAUGGCUUUUAGCUUAUAUUAUAAAGAUAUAAUAUGUUGUCUAUAAUAAUCGACGGAAGGUAAUAGACAACAUGUUUUACUUCUUGUCUAUAAUAAUAUAGACAGUAGAUCUAGUGUUAUAGAUAACAAUUAAUACGUGUUGUCUAUAUGAUGAUAGACACCAAAAAUCUCUGUUGUCUAUUCUAUGACAAAAAAAUUUAAAAAAAUUCUAAUAUAUUUACAUCCCUGUAUUACAAUACCAAUAUAUAUGAAAAAAUAAAAAUAAUUAAAAAUCAAAUAAUCAAACAAUACUUAUAAACCACUAAUACUCACAAUCAAAUAUUUACACAUCAACAAUUGUAUUAUCUUUAAUUACGCCUUCAUUUAUCUACUAAAAAAAAUCUCUAAUAAAAUCUCUAACUAACUCCGGUCAUCAUCUCUUGAAGGCUUAGAAAAUGUCCAAAUACAGCGGCACAUGCUCAUUAUUGUGUGAGCGAUGAGAACUUUGCGCUGAACCUAUAAAGUAACUAUACUUAACUGGUAAAGUAAUUGUAUCCCGUGAAUCUAAAGGAAGAAUAAACACGUUGAUAGAGUUUGAAAGAAAAGAAUAAAGAGAAUGAAAAUCCAAAGAAUUUGCUUCUUCCGUUGAACAAUCCCUACACAACGUUGAAAUAUCAAUGAAAACAAUGGCUAUCCUAUACUCCCUCCAUCCAUGAAAGAACUUCCUAGGAGGGAGUGACACGGGUUUUAAGAAAAAAUAUUGUUAAGUGUAUUGAGAGUGGAUAAAAGGUAGUUGAGUGUAUUGGGAGUGGUGAAAAUGUGUUAUAGUUAAUAUUGAGAGUUGUGAAAAGUGAAAAGUAAGAGGAUUAUAAGUGGUGGGGUAUAGUCCAAAAAUAGGUAGGAAGUUCUUUUGUGGACGUCCCAAAAAGGAAAGAUAUGAAGUUCUUUCGUGGACGGAGGGAGUAUUAUUUUGCAGCAGCAACCACGUUUAAAAACUCGAUCCCUCUAUUCUUGAAUUUGUGAAAUUUCCGACUGAUUUAUUAGAUUCACCAUUUAUUUCAGUUUAAUUAGUCUAUAUAUAGAUAUUUCUUAUAUUAUUAAAUUGUUAACCUCAUGGUAGAUUUCAAGAUUUGAAAAUUCAACAAAGAGCUUGAGAAUUAUAGAGAUUGGAAGGGGAAGAUGAAACAUAGUUGGGUGAAAUUAGAAACCAAUUAAAGUCAGGAGAUUGAAGAAAAACAUAACUUAAAAACACAAAAUAAGCAAAUCGUAGAUGCAGUAUCUUGCAAGAAAAAGUUCAUAUUCCCAAGGCUAUGAUGAGCACGAAUUAGGGUGUGUCUGCAUUUUAUCCCUCUAAAUGGAGGAAUAAUAAAAUUUUAUGCCUUUAAAUGUUUGCUUUCUUAUCACACAUUCUAAACAAACACCAUUUUUUCUUCCUUAUUUUCACUUCAAUGAGGGAUAAUAUUAUCCCUCCAAUUUUGGUGUGAUAAUAUUAUCCCUCCUACAAGUGAAAAUAAGGAAGAAAAAAUGGUACUCCCUUCGUCCCAAACGAAAUGUCCUGUUUUCCUUUUUGGGCUGUCCCAAACGAAAUGUCCUGUUUCCUUUUUUGGCAAUACACUCUCUCUCUAUACUUAAUAUUUAAAUAAUUUUCACCAACCCACUUUAUCUACUUUAUACACAUUUCUUAAUCUCCGUGCCGAAAAGAAAUGGGACAUUUCGUUUGGGACGGAGGGAGUAUUUGUGUAGGAUGUGGGAUAAGAAAACAAACAUUUAAAGACAUAAAUUUUUGUUAUUCCUCCAUUUAGAGGGAUAAAAAGCAAACACACCUUAGAGUCUAAUUACAAUUUAGGCGCAGGCUGUGUGAGAAUUACUUAGUCGAAUAGGAUCCUUAGUAUUUAUAUUUCUCAUGUUCUUGUGUAUUUUUUCACUGAUUCACUAUUGGAUUAACAAGAAUUAUCUUACUUUAAAAAAAAAAAAGAAAUGAUCUUACUUCAUGUAUGGUAUGCCAACUGUUCGAUAAAGGUCCUUUUAGAAAUAUUCCAUAGAUUACCUUGCAAAGACCACAAAACUAGACACACCCUGCAUAGUUUAUACAUAGGGAUGGCCGAUUGAUGAUCGUCUUAUUUGUAGACUUAACGAGAGCAGACUCGAUCGCUUAGUCCUUACUGAUUUACGACACACAUGCACACAUACACAGAUACACACAUCACAAAAUCACGCAAAUUGACGGAUAAUGUUGCCGGCCAGCUCCUUCCUGCUCCACGCCACGGCAUUUUUCUGCACCAUGGUGGCCGUGAAAUACCACGAGACGAUGUCAUGGGUGGCGACGUGUUGUCCGGUGGCGGCGGAUAGCCCGACCUGAACCUCCUGAGCAACAAAGUAGCUCAAAUCGUACUCAUAGCUGACAUCAAACGUCUGAUUGCCGGCGGUGACUUUGACGGAGAUCAUCCUUGUGGCUCCGACGUAGUUGAUCCGCGCAGUUACCUGCUGCUUGAGUAUGGAGCUGUCGACCGGCGUCGUCUUGCUGGAUACCCUAGAGCCGAAGUCGAUGCCGAUGUGGGGAUAGAGCGGAUCCCACGCGCCGUUGACGUAGGUGUCGAUUUCAACGGCGAAGACCCCGGGGCUGUUGCCGUUGGAGCCAAAGAUUCCGAGAUUGGCUCCGUCGGAGCCAGGGGGGAUGGUGGAGUCGACGGGGGCAAUGAAGAAGGCGAGGCCGUCGGCAGGCUCGUUGUCGGCGCCGGGGGUGAUGAUGAAGUUCACGGUGGUUUCGAAGUCGACCUGCCCAUUGGACAUCCAGAAUUGGACCGGUUCCGAGUACAUGACGCGGCCGACUUGGGACGGUUGUGCGUCUGUGAGGCGGAGGAAGGUGGAGUCCGUCGGGAAAUGGGCGUUGCCUUGAUAGAUGAGAUCUUUCGGCUGGUCGCCCCAGAAGUCGAAGGUGAACGACGUCGUUUGGGACAACGCCGUGUUGGAAACGGCGAGGAGGAGGGCGAUGGAGGCGAGGAGAGGAGUUAAGUUGGCCAUGGCUUAAUAGAUUUAGAUUUAGAGAUGUGGUGGAUGAUGGUGGUAUCGAUCUGUUGCACCUAUUUAUACUAGUAUGGUUCAUGCCUGAUAAUAAUUGUAUCAAUCAAUCAUCGUGCAUCUAUCCCAAAUUAUAUGUCUUAUUAUUCACUAAUUAGAUGGAAUAAAUCCUAAUUUGCAAUCUUAAAAUUAAACCGCCAAUGAGGCCUUGCUCUAGUAGCAAAGCUGUGGCACCCAAUAACUUUUCUUUGUGAAAGGUCUUGGGUUCAAUCUCGCCUGCAUGCGGUGAUGUUUGCCCACUUUAGGUGGUGUGGUAUUCUCGCCUGCGUGCGGUGUUAUAUUGUUUAGUGUUAAGGUCCCACAUGCAGGGCGUUCUUGCAUGUGUGCGUGUCACAACCCAAAACCAUUUAUUUUCUUUACAAAUUUUAUAUGAAAAUUAUUUGAUUUUUAAGUUAUAGAGUUUUCGAUAUAUAUACAUAUAGUGUCAAUUUUAUGUUAACUUAGUCGUGUCCCUAAUUAAAAGAAUGAAUUUGAAAUAAAAGUUAAGCCUUAAAAAUUUAAUCUACAUUCAUAUAUAACUGAAAUUACAUGCAUGUCUAAAUAUUAUUUAUAAUUAUCAAUAACGGGAUUAAUGAUUCUAUAUCUCUAUGUUUAUACAUAUAUUCACGUAUGACAUAGUAUAUAUUAGCUAUUAAGUUAAAUAAAAUACUACAGUUUUGCAUAGGAUAUAUAUUUAAUUAGUAGUAGGAUAGGACACGUGUAUUAAUUUUAAGGGCAAGUAAUCAAACUUUUGAAUGAUUCAUCAUGCUUAAAAAAAAGAGACCUAGAUAGAUGAUUCAUCAGAUUCAAAAACAAGUAUAAAUAGACUUCGAGUUUGAAAUUUUAAUUAAUUUGCAACAACCAUUCAAACUGACUGUAUUAAGGUAAGUAGUUACAGAUUUCAUACACAUUAUAUGAUUUCGCGCACAUACGUAUGUAUAUAUAAAUAUUUUUUAAAAUCAUAUAUUAUAUAAUAAUUAUAUUUAAGUUUUAUAUUAUUCUUUAUAAACUAUUGUUCCAUUCUAUAUAAUUAGGUGUGGCAUGACUAGGACGUAACUUUCGAUUGAAUUUCUCAAGUUAAUCUUCAAGUUCAAGUUUCAGGUGUGGGAUUUAUUUAAAUACAUGUCGUGGUUAUUUAUUAUCCAUUUUAAUAAUAUGUGUUUACCAUAUGUGUUAUGAUGCAUAUUUUGAGGAUAUCGCUAGGGGCCCAUAAAUAGGGUCCAGGACUUCACCGUCCUUGGAUUGCCACAAUGCAAUUUGAGGUUUAUUUUGAGGAUGUCGUCAGGGAUCCGUAAAUAGGGUCCAGGACUUUAAUAGUCCUUGGGUUGCCACAGUGCGAAUAUAUUGAGGAUAUAUAUGAAGUGACCGUAUGUGUUACCGUUUCAUUAACGUGGACAAUGAUUGCUUGUUCUCACACUGAGUGUACUCUGUAUGCUCAUCCCAUAUUUAACGUGGAAGGUCGAUUGACGAAUCAAAUAUUUUGUAUUUAGCUUUACCUAAAUAUGUUAUUUUGAGUAAAGUAUUUUAAAUAAAAAUUUAUUUCAUAAUUUUCUCAUUAAAUAUUUAUUUAUAUUCAUAGCUUUUCCGCACAAAUAUUUAUUUAAAUUUUAAUUAGAUUUGGGUGUCACUGUGCGGUGAUGUUUUUCCACCGUUUCGGUGGUGGUGAGGCCCCACCUGCGUGCACGUUAUAUACUUGAUUAUAUUCAGAUACCUCUUGUAAUUUUUAAAAAAAUAAUCAUAAAAUUAAACCAAAGCAUAUAAAAUUGAAAUUGGCCAAAAAAAUAUAUAAAAAUAAAUAAAAUUAAAAAUGGGAUAUAAAGUGAGACAUUAAAUGUGGUACACUACUGAAUCUCAAUCCAACACGUGGAUGCUACAUUGUACUUGUCGGAAUAUUAGAACUUCUACAAAAUAUUGCUAUUGGAAACGUGAAAUUUUAUUAUGAGAAAACUUAUACCUGACCCCACAGUCGUGGGCACGUGUUAUGUUGCGCGGAAAUUAAAGUGGUGGGGACCGUAAAUGGUAUUUUAGUCUUUUAAUUUAUUUUAGUAUACAAAAGAGUUAAUUUUAAAGAGGCGCUAAAAAACACAUCACUUUUAAAAAUUGGUAUUUAAAAUCUUGAACCCCUUUUAUUAUUUUAGAAAGAUAUUAAUUAAUUGAUAAAUUAAUAAAUUAUUAAUUGAAACAAUUAUUUUAAGCAAAUUUAAUUAUAAUUACCUAAAAAUUUAAAAAACAUAAAUUCAAUACCAUUCAAAUUCAACAAACUAACUUAAAUUUUUACUUUAAAAAAUCUUCAUCAAUCUUGCAAUCUCGGCUUGGACUAUAAAUGUUCAACAAGAGACAAUAACCAAUUUUUCAGACAUUUGUGAACAAAAUGAAGCAUGUUUAGAGAUCCUUAAUAAAGGUGUACGAAAUGAUGGAUAAAUAAGUUUGUGAAAAUUUCACCAUACCUAACCCCACAAUUAUUUGCGAUCGAAUAUCCUCGUCACAGGAAAAAGAGAUGAUGACAAAAGGGAAAAAAAAAUUAACAAAGUAGAAGAUGCAUGACAACUGUCAAGAUAAAUAAUGUUACUAAUUAAAUAAUCCAAACUUUAUACGUUUCAUAUCAUAAGUGGCAGUUCUAUAUUUUUUGCGAAAGUGAACAAAAUAACGAAUAAUUUUUAAAGUAAUAGUAAAAGGAGAUGUGUUUUGACAGAAAACGACAUGAGCGGCCUAAAAAUAAGAGGGAAAAAGAUAAUCAUAUAAAUAUUCAAAAUCAAACGGAUUGGCAUGUAUUCAUCAUUUUUUAUUUUAAUAAUUUAACAGUAUUAAAUCAAGAAAUUUAAAGACCGCGCCCCUUACUGCUUGGCUUUAAGAUUAUGUUACAAUAAUAAAAUUAACAGCACGUUUACAAUAUAAAAUUAAUUAUGAUAAAUGCAAUAUAUUAAUAAUAAAUACUCAAUUACCUCUUAACAUAAUUCGCGCAUCAUGGCUUUUAGCUUAUGUUAUAAAGAUGGAGUAUAAAAUAAUCAUCACCUGUGCAUGAUAUUUCACAAAAUAAUUAAAUAAUAAAAUAAUCAAUCAUAAUGCCAAGACGUGACUCUUGUCGGUCAUAUCUCAUCAACUUUAUCUAUAUAGUACAAUGAUGAUUAAUUUGAGAACGACGAUUAAGACACCAACUAUUCUUGUGGGGACACAUGCAUAUAUAGAAUUAAUAUUAUAAACUCUCUCGGUCCACGAAAUAACUUACUAUUUUUUCUUUUAAGAACGUGAACAAAAAAAAUUCCCAUCGAUAUUUCGGAACUAUACCCCACUACUUUAAAAUACCUCAUUUUACCCUUUCUUUUUCACAAAAACAACAAAUUACUAAUAAUUUUUCACUAUUCCUAAUAUACUGAACAAUUUUUCUCCACUCUCAAAUUUUGUAGCACCGAAUAAAAUUAAAUACUAGUAUUAUUUUUUGUAGAACUAUAAAUAAAUAUUAUUCUCAAAACAUGUACUAUUACUUACUAUUUUUUUUAAAUGUGGGACGACCAAAAAAGGAAAGAUGAAUUCUAAAAGCUGGGACAGAGGAUAUAUUAUUUUUCUUCUUGGUUCUGAAGUAUGAAUAUUAAUUAACAAUUCUUCGUCCACAUCAAGCUCACCUUCACGUAAUUUUUUCUUGAACAACACCGAAAAAUAUAUAAUCCCAACAUAGCAUGAUCAAUCUCAAUGCACCAAACAUAAAUUAGUUUUAAAAUAAUAAUAAGAUUAACUACUAUAUUGCUGAAUUAUGCAGUAGAAUUAAAAGCGUGAUUUUUUUUUAAUAGAGCAGGUUAAUCUAGGCCUACCUGAACCAUCUGACUAUGCAUGAGUUUGAUUUUUCUUCUUGAUCUUUUUUAAUUUUACCGACAAAGAAGAUUUUCACAAAUGAAAAGAAAACGUUCUAGUAACAUACUACAUGCUUACUUCAGAUUUGCAACCAAGUCUAUUGAGGGUUUUAUUUGCUACAUAUAUAAACACAAGGAUUUGGUUUGAUACAAAUUAAGAAUAUUCAACUUUCAUCGGCUCAAGCACAUAGAAUCUCCCCGAGUAGUUAUAACUGGUCAAUGUUUUUGCCGAUAAAAAGGAAAAGGAAAGAAAAAAGAAAGAAGCAAGACGGAGAAAAAGUUGUAGUAAAUGAUUAUGCGAUGAAAAGAAAAUGGAAAAGAGAAAGAAAGAAGAAAGUUGUAGGAAUUUUGAAGAAUUUGUACUUAUUUAGAAUUGUGGUUAUUGUGGGAUCUUGUAUAAUAAUAAUAAUAAUAAUAAUAAUAAUAAUAAUAAUUAUUGGGCCGUUCCACGAAUCUUGGCACAUUUUCAAAUAAGGUAAUAAUUCAUUCUCUCUCUUACUUUAUCACUUUAAUACUUUAUUAACUACAAACUUAAAACACUAAUAUACAAUUCCUUAAUUCCCGUGUCGAAACCAAACGUGUCAAGAUUCGUUGGAUGGAGGGAGUAAUAAUAAUAAUAAUAAUAAUAGUAAUAAUAAUAAUAAUAAUAAUAAUAAUACAUCAUUGCCCUUUAAAAAGUUUUAAAAUAGGAACAUAAUAUGUAAAUCUAAUUUUGUAAAAGAAGCUCUUCUAUAGUAAUAGUUAUAGAUUUGGUGUGGAGGCAUUUGUUUGAGAAUGGGUAAAACAUACCAUUAACCCUUUGAUAUAUGCACGAGACACUUAUUUGUGGAUAGGACAAGAAUUAUUUUGUUGCAUAGGAUCCCUUCCAAAUGUAAUUACUGAUUCACAAUUGGAUUAACAAGAAUUAACUUACUUCAUAUUCAGUAUUCCAACUGUUCGAUAAAAGUUCUUAAUGAAAUCUUCCAUAGAUUACCCAAAUGCAUUGUUUUGCAUAGUCCGUACAUUGAGAUGGUCGAGUAUCUUAUGUCUAGACUUAACGAGAGCAGACUCGAUCGCUUAGUCCUUAUUUAUUUACGACACACACACAUCUCAAAAUCACACAAAUUGACGAAUAAUGUUGCCAGCCAGCUCCUUCCUGUUCCACGCGCCAGCAUUUGUCUUCACCAUGGUGGCUGUGAAAUACCAUGAGAUAAUAUCAUGUUUGGCGACGUAUGGUUGGUUUAGUCCGCUGGCGGCGGAGAGCCCUACCUGAACCUGCUCAGGAAGAAACUCGCCCAAAUUGUACACAUGGCUGACCUCAAACGUCUUCGAGCCGGCGGUGGCACUGACGGUGAUCAUCUUCGUGGCUCCGACGUAGUUGAUCCGCGCAGUCACCUGCUGUCCGACUAUGGCGUCUCCGACAUUCGUCGUGUUGCUGGAUUCCCUAGAUCCGAGGUCGAUGCCGAUGUGGGGAUAGUUCGGAUCCCACGGGCUGUUGAUGAAGGUGUCGAACUCGACGGCGAAGACCGAGGGGCUAUUGCCGUUGGAGCCGAAAAUUCCGAGGUUGGCCCCAACAGCGCCACUGGGGAUGGUGGAGCCGACGGGGGCAAUGAAGAAAGCGAGGCCGUCAGCGGUUUUGCCAUCGGGGCUGGGUGUGAUGAUGAAGUUAAUGGUGGUUUCAAAGUCGACUUGGCCACCGGAUUGGGAGAACUGGACCGGCUUCGAGUACAAGACCCGGCCGACCUGGUAUGUCUCGAAGUCGGUGAGGCGGAGGAAGGUGGAGUCCGAUGGGAAAUGGGCGUGGCCUUGGUAGGUGAGAUCGGUCGGCUGGUCGCCCCAGAAGUCGUAGGUGAAGGACGUUGUUUGGGACCACACCGUGUUGGCAGCGGCGGCAAGGAGAAGGGCGAUGGAGAUUAGGGUUUGUUGAAGGUUGGCCAUCGCUUAAUUGAUUUGGAUGUGGUGGAUGAUGGUGGUAUCUUUAUCUUGCUUCUAUUUAUAGUAGUAUAACGAGCCCUAGUUAAUUAUCUUUAAAUCAUACUAAAAUAUCAUAAAUUAAAAUUGAAGAAAAAAAAGUUAAAACCUACUCUCGCAGUCCCUCAAAUAACUUCUUAGGAGAAGAGGGGUAGGAGUUUUAAGACGAAGUUAAUGUGCAAAGUAAGGAUAAAUGAAGUAUUAUAUAUAUAUUAGUACUAGUGUGGUAUAGUCCAAAAUUAAAAAAUAAAGUUUUUUUAAAAAUGGACCAAAUAGAAGAGUUAGGAAGUUAUUGGGGGAAAAGUGGAAGACAACAUAUUGAAAGUGGGAUAUGUGGUACACAAUAAGUUGUAGGACAAAGGAUAUCGCAUGUUGUUGGAAUAUAAACUUGAUUUGUAUAGAUAUUUUAUAAAGAGUAUUCUAGAUAUUUUGAAAAGUAGAAGAAAAAAGAAAAAUCUAGAAUAGUUGAGAAUAAGAUAGAAAAAGAAGAAAAUUCUAGAAUAGUUGAGAAUGAUGAGGAGAUGAAGAAAAAUCUAGAAUUGUUGAGAAUGAGUUAGGAUAAAGUAGAAUUAAUUAGUAGAAUAACCUAGAAAUAGAAUAAUCUAGAAGGUGGGUAUGUACCACUAUAAAUAUGUAACUAUGUUGUGAAAUUGUAA